This 69764-nucleotide long non-coding RNA is filed under the name Fragaria vesca (wild strawberry). Its description in RNAcentral is "long non-coding RNA (FVES_LNC002139)". Lineage: Eukaryota; Viridiplantae; Streptophyta; Magnoliopsida; Rosales; Rosaceae. The record is from RNAcentral.
AGAGAGAGAGAGAGAGAGAGAGUGGAGGGUGGGGGGGACUAGUGGGGGGUUAAGGUGGUUAAAAUAUGCGGGAAUAUUUAAACUGCGACGGGGAAUCACGCACACAUGAAGACAGAGCUGCCUCUGUUACUUCCCCAAAAAACUAACCUCGACUGCUUCUCUCUGGCUCACUCUGGUUUCAUAUUAGAGUCUCGGCCCCUUUUAUAUUUGGUUUUGGUCAGAGAAAAUACAAAAAGACACGUGUCAGGUGGAGGAGGAAUACAAAUUAGAUACGUUAUUGUAGGCUUUUAUGGUAAGGAAAAUCCUACCUAAGAAUUUCUUGUUCGGCUUUCCAGACCUGUCAUAACUCAUGUCAUAACUCAGGUCCGUAUGCAUAUCGUAAAAGGCGGAGUUAGAAUGUAUGUUCAGAGGGGCAUAUAAAGAAUCAGUAUGGAACUUCUUCAUUGAAAGUUGAUAAAUAAACUAGAUGGUAAAGCUAAUUGAAGAAACCAUGGGUGUCGUGGCACAUUUUAGUCUGGUUGUAGCUCCACCUAUGCAUGUUGUAGCCAAUAUUGAAAAUUAGUCAUAAACUUGCUUUCGUGUCAAUUUUGUUUUUGGUGUAGAGACGGCGAUGAACCGAGUUGUUCUAAUUGUCUAAUCCAGGUAAACUGAUUACUUUAGAUUCCGAGUUUGAAUGAACUUAUCUUGAUAAAACAAAAAAUGAUUGUGGUAUGUUAAUGACUUAAUAAUGUGUCCACGCCACUAUAGUUCUUGCAUAUAUUUCUGUCUCAACUAUAUGCUGGGAUGCUUAUCCAAUUAACAAAGCACAAAUUUGACGAAAAGUGUUAUGCUAGCAAAGUAGCAAUUGAGAGUGUGAAAAUGGCCUUUUUACUUCGUAGUUACUUAUAUUUCCACGAUAUAUAUUCGAUUAUCAUUGAGUUUGUGAAUAUUAUCAUUAACCAACGCAACUUAAUUAACUAGGCAGUCAGGCGCCAGAUGAAAAACCUCAACAAAGAAAAAGAAAAAAAUAGUGGUAGCAGGAGCUGCAGGACAUGAUCAUAAAAGGCUCUCAUUACUAGAAGGCAGAGAGUAGCUGAAAAUUAUAUUAAUGGUUUUGGAAAGGUAGACCAGGAGGACUGAGCGAGCCUGAACUUCAAACACCUUCUCAGAGUUCAGGUCGAUAAUAUUUAUAGGAGUAGCAGUGAAUCAGUGAUGACCAAAUUAUUAAAGGAUCCAAGCAAGCAAGUAAGCUCUUCGUUGCCAGCGAUCGAGUUGGCGUGUGACAUCAAGUUUGGAACGUAAUAGGCAUGGUUGCUUCGUUCCCUGCUGCAGUCUGUAUAUUGUAAUGGGGCGAGAGAGAUUGCCAUGCCAUAUAUGAGCCAAUAAUGCAGAUAGAUAUACAUGUUUCUUUAUUGGUACGUACGUAGCAACUGCUGUGUGCAUCUGAUUCAAGAAAGAGUCGAAAGUGCAUUAUUGCAUAUAUAUGAUUCUUUCCUGCUGCCCAUAUCUCCAUAGCCGAGAGGAACAAGUAGCCAGUAUAUAUAUGCGUGCAUGUCAUAUAUAUUUUACCACACAACUUUACGUAGAGAUUAUUUUCAAUUUACUGUUCUCAGAGUAAUGGUAACAGAGUUCUGCUGAUCAAGAAAGGUAUAGCUCCACACCAUAUCCAACUUCUUUCGUCGGCAUUUUGACCACGCUCGAGCUACUCAUGAAUGAUUGUUUUGAAUUCAACCUAAACUUAAGUUUUGCUGAAUGCUGAUCAUUAUUGAUAUUGUUUUGACUAGAAAAGAUUAACAGAGAAAAGAAAAUUAGGAAGACGGCUGAUGAUGAAAAAGUUAAACAGUGUGGUAGAAAACCUGAUGAUAAUCUGAAUGAAAAAGCAUCAAUUCAUGAGUGAUCUUACUUUCACCCAUCAACUUGAUUCUCUUUAGUUCAAAGGGUCGAUCAUUAAUUCCUGAUGCUGAAUUGAAAAUGACAAAAUGUGAUUCAUAUUGAUGAAGCAUGAGCCAGCUGAUGAGCAUGACUACAUUUCCAUCAUUCAAUUUGUCAUUCAAGAAUUACUACUCUCGCGCAAUCUCAAAACUUUUGAACGACACAGCAAUUGUUUACAGCCAAAUGAACAUAUAUUCCAGUGUUGCAACCUCCUCAAUGUUUGUUUUUGCGUAAAAUUCUUUAUUUUAUUUUUUUUCCAGAGCGAGGGAAAGAUUCAUGAAAGGUGUUGAAGCGAAAAGUUAAGAAAUGUAAAUAUGUUCGUUAAUUCGUGUUACUGUCUCAAAGUGAUUGAGAUAAAAAAGAAUCAACUACAUAUGAGAUAUGGUUUCUUAGGAUCCCAUGCCAUCCAAUUAGUCUUUUGUUCAUUCCGGUCUUCAGUAUCCGGCCAGCUGCUGCCAACAAGCAGCAUCCCGUACAUAUUGGUGAUAAGGUGAUAUGAUAGACACUCGAUCAUAGCUAGUCACUUAGCCGAUAGUGCGCGCAGUCUCCAUCUGCAUAUCCAGUAAAAUCAAUUUUGAAAUAUCCCCAAAGACAGAUAGAAUAAAAAGUGAUCAGUAGUAUCACUUGAAUGAUCAUUUGCUGGGCCAAAGGGUCUCAUUUUGGUGAUGAUUAUCAGUCCCCAGUGCAUGGCAUAUCGAUCAGUACUACUGUCCUUUGGGUGUGGUGAUGAAGAUGUGAUAUCUGUUCAAAUGAUUCGGUGCGUGGACUCUUAGCAUAGGAAAGUAGUCAGUCGGCCUCUUUUUCUUUUUUCUGAUGUCAAAAGUCGACCUCUUUUUCUUAUGCUCUGUCCAGCUGACUAGCAUGCAUAUAUUCAUCAGAUGAAAAUAGAGGCGUUUGCAAACACUUGAUCCCAUUCAUGAAUCAUGUUUUUCCCAAGAGGGGUUUUAGACUAAGAUGCUAGCUAGCUCGAUCAUUAAGUGAGUCCAUUAUCAGUCUACAAUCUAGUAACUAAUUAAAUAUAGAACCAUCUAAUCUUCAGAGGGUACGUUAUCAUCAUCAUCAUCAUCAACUCCGGAAUCAUUGCGAUGAUUUUUGACCAAACUGAAAGAGGUAUAUAGAAAACCCUUUGUGCAUGCUUCUUGAAUUUACUAGUACGCGAUCAUUCCACAACCUCUGCGCUUUGAGGCCGGAAGGCACGGUUGGACAUAUCAGUUGAGCUAAUUAGGAGAGGAACAAGCUCGAUCGAGUUGGGGGUUUACGGAGUUUCGCUUCCUGCCUUCACCUUGCACAGCGAUGUCGAGUUCGGACUGAAUGCUGCUCUGAAUUGGCCGGAGAGACAAUGAAAGGCACACAUCAAUGAUUUGGGAUGUAAUAAUGUUCCUUUUUCAUAUAUUAUGUCUCAGAGUAUAGAAGAGGUAGCUAGUGUUAAUAUUAGAAUGCCUACAUGGCUACAGGCAUUAUCAGAGGUGAAAAAGGCUUGCCGGCCAGAUGUGUUGCAGAUGAAAUGGUGAGCUGGGCCUAUUGUGGGCCGGGUUUAGCAAACUCAGAGGUCGUACUUUAGAAAUUCAGUCCAGCCCUUUAGUGCUUUUUUGUCUUUUCGAUUACAGGCCCUAUACUGCUUUGAUCCCAAUGUGAAAAUGUGCUUUGGUUUUCUAAAGCGUGGAUUUCUUUGUUUAGAUGUAAACAUGGAUCGUGUCCUUGAAUAUUUGGAGAGAAGCAGUCAACGUCUUCUUUGGCUUUAAUGGGUACGGAGUCGUUCGGAUGAGUACCACUAAGUUGAGAAUUAGUUGAGGAUCUUUUCAUUUCACCCUCUUUUCGAUCGCGUAAUCACAUCUCGAUCGUCUUAACUUAUAGAUAUAUAUGAAUAGAUCGUCUCUAUAAAUUUUAUCCAAAUUGAAAAUCGUUAAGAUUCAUAAAUGUGAUCUACCGAUUAUAAAUUUGAACGGUUCAUGUUUGACAGAUUUUGAUCAUUCAUUAAUUUGAUUUAGUUCGAUUCAUUAACGAUCACCAAUUUGGCUGCAAAAUUUGUAUAAGUGAUCUUCUUAUAUAGACCUAAAAACUGUACAAUUGAGAUGAAAAAAUAUAAUUAAAAAGUGAGUGUAAUAAACUAUUAAUGAGAAAGUCCUCAACCAAAUGGUCCUCAUUAGAACCCUUCCUUUAUUGAGUAUAUUCAAAUAUAUAAAGUUCAAAAUAUUAUUACGUAGAAAUUCUUGUAUUUAUAUGAGUGUGUUAAGUACACAAGGCAAUUAGUGAUCCAUAUAUUAUGGCCAUUAUGUAUCUGUGUUACUACGUCACUUGUUAUUUAUCAUGUUAGUAAUUACGAUUGACUUUCUCUUCCUGAUCUGAAUGGGUGGAUUUUUGUUAAUUUCGAUUACAAUUUUAAUGAAUAAUAUUAUAGCAUAUACGGCGUGCACCAAAUACGAAUUUAGUAUUGGAACGAAGUUGGAUCCUCGGAAGAUCUUCAAAUACGAUCACCCCCAUUGGUCAUAGUUUUUCAAUCUUGGAUGUAGUCUCAUUUUCUUACCACCAGAAGGAAAAGAAGAGGCACAUCCCACACGGCCGUCCGCAUGCGGCGAAUCACAAAACCGACCACUAAUAAAUUAGUGACGGUAACUUCGAAAAACCAAAACAAAGAGAAAGAAAAUAAAACCAAACAAACCAGAGAGAAGAAGGCAGCAGUUAUAAAGCAAAGACUGACUCUUUCUGUUUGCACAGGAGCACGGAUAUCUCUCCUCUUACGCAAACACCAACUACCUCCCCCAACUUCCCUUGUCUUCCACAUAACCCAUAACUCAAACUCAAUCAAUCUCCAAAACCCAAAUAUACAUCUCCAAAAGUUGUAACCUUACAUGUCAGAGAGGGUUCUCCGGCGACGAUCUCAGGCGACGGGCGGUAGUGGCAGCCGGAGGACCCGCCUCUCGAACCCUUCACCAUCGCCGCACCGGAAGACCCCACAAACUAAGCGAUCGCCCAAGCCACGUUCCAAGCCUGUAAAGAUUCUUAAGCGAUGCUCGUCCGAGCCUCUGCUCCGGAGUCCCGUCAGCGAUUUCGGCGACGAGGUGGUGCCGCAUGUUGGCCGGGAGUUGAGGUCGGAGCCGGAUGGAGUUCUUUUCCGGCCACAAACUUGUGUUGACGUGUUUGCUUCGUCUCCGACGUUGAUGAUACCUUUCUCUCCCAAUAAUCAUGAGGUGCGAUCAAUGUUUGUAAAUUUUCGAUCUUUCGAUCUUUGGUUGACUGUUUGGUGGAUCAAACUAGUUAGCUGCAGUGUGUGUUUUUGUAUUUUUUUAGAUCAAGUUAGUUUUGUAGUUUAUUUCAUCUAUUUGCAGUGUUUGUCUAUUAACAUUCUGUUUUGUCUGUUUUUGUUUUGGCUUCUUCUAGUCGUAUUAUUCAGAAUCUAACUCUGAAUCAAAGAGAUUACUUAUGAAUAAAAGUUUUGAGUUCUAGGAUAAGCGAAUUAUCCAAAAUGUGUGAAAUGUUUACAAUGACAAGAAUGCAAAGAAAUAUAUCCUUAGAAUUUGAGGUUUAUAAUCCACUGUCUGCAGUUAGUGCACAGCCAAUGCAGCAUUUAUUCUUUUGAUGAUUUUCAUUUACUGUGGAGUAUUGUGAGAUUGAUAUUCAAUUAAUGCUUAACCAAUUCAGUGCUUAUUCAAUGCAUGACUAGAUUCUGAUAGAGAUAUAUAUGGGUUAAGGAGCUGAGAUAAUUUGGUAAGUGUUUGAAAUGCAGGCAUACAAGAAAGAUGCAAAGGUGGUAUUGAAUGUUUCCGUUGAAGGAAGUCCAGGACCGGUGAGGGCCAUGGUGAAGUUGGGAUCUACGGUGGAAGAGACGAUCAAGCUUGUUGUAGACAAAUAUAGCAAAGAAGGGAGGACUCCCAAGCUUCUUAAGGAUGAGGCAUCGUCCUUUGAGUUACACCACUCCUACUUCAGCCUUCAAAGUAAGUCAAAAUUACAUAGUUUUUCAAGUUCUAUUAAUUUCCAGUUCUAGGAGUUCUUCUGCCAGAUUGUAGACUGUAGGCUCUCUUCAUAUUUUGAGAAGUAUAUAACAUUUGUAGAGAAUUUCAAAUGGUGAACGAUUUAUUAGGGACUGUGUGGAUAAAACACUGUUGAUCAAGUAAGUGGAAAUGUAACAUUGGAUAUGUUAGAAGGGAUAUUUCCUAAGUUGCACCAAGAUAUAUGAGAUAAACCAAAUCAGAAUUACUGUAAAGAACGGCAACUUAUCCAGUUGGUCCUGACAAGCUUAUCCAGUUCUAAGAAGUUGUGAGCUUUGUAACUACUGAAAGACGGAGAAUUAGAAGUCGUGCAUGGAGCAGUACUUGAUUUUCUUGGUUUCCAACUAGGAUUAGAUCUUUAUUGAGAACUCUUUUUACUGAACAGGUUUGGAUAAAUCAGACUUGAUUGGGGAUGUUGGUAGCAGAAGCUUCUAUCUUCGAAAGAGCAGCAGCAAGAAUGGAGGAUCUACUGCUUCUUUGGAAGUCAUUCCCGUGAGAGCAAACUCUCCUCCACCUGCUCCGCGUCCAGGAUUGUUACUUCCAAAUUUUAUUGCUCGUAAACUCGCUAAACUUGUUAGAAGAACUCAUAGACUUUGGAAGGUCAUAGUCUGUAUGCGAUGAGGAAAAUUAUGUAGAAAAGACCAUUGCUACAGACUUUAGAGUAACACAAAAUAUUAUUCCUGUUACUCUUCAAUGAGCCUCUUAAAUGCGGAUGUCGGACCUCGUCUGUGACAUGUAUUAUCAACUUUCUCUUCUACCUUCUGAAUUGUAUGCAAAUGCUGUAAAUAUGUCCUUAUUGGAAGAUCAUUUAUAUCAUAGCUGAAAAACACAAUUGUUCACAUGUUUUUCCCCACUGAAAUACAAGCAACAAAUGCUAUUUGUGUGGCUUGAUCCAAGAGGGUAUUAUGCCUACAAGACUCAAAUAUUUAUUAUUGGAAUGGUUCUUAUAAUGUGAUCUUCUAAAUAAUCCUAUGUCUUCAGAGGCUAGGAACUAGAGCUGCUGGGGAUCAGGGUAUGGUAACCGACCUGUGGAUGACUCUUUUUUUGGCUAUCGCUGUACAUAGGAGAAGGGAACUGGCUCAGUUAUAAACCGUUAUAAAAGGGCAUACAGAAAGGUCAUGGAGUUUGGGAACUUGUUUAUGUGGUAAACUCUUUGAGUUAUAUCUGUUAUACAUCAAUAUUACCCUAGCAUAUGGCUCUACUGUUAUCCAAAUCCCCUGCUAAUUGCCAUGUUGAAUAGAGCUCAACCUUCAUAUCUGAUAUGAUCGCUUCAUAGCAUCAGAUCAGUGUAACAAUACUGAGAGGAAAGGAGUAUAAAAUUUCUUGCUGAACAAUUUAUUUUUUGGCCACACUCUUCCAGGAUGUACUUCUGAUUGGGCUGGGUUUUGGACUUUUGGUUGUCCUUGAUGGACUUCUUUCCUUUAAUGACCGGUGGACUGUUUUGCUUGUAUCUUUCUUCUGUAAUAAUCCUCAGACUCAGGGGCUUUCAGACAACCCUGAGCUUCUACGAAGCUUCUUCUUCAAUAGUACGCAAAUGAACCUUGGACGUACGUAACGUCUCUAACUCUCUGAAAACCCCCACACACUACUCCUGAAGAUUCACACAAACUCAUCUCAAAAAAGUACCAAACCUAAUACAAACAUCUCCACAACCACUUGGCAUACAUUGCAUGCAUCAUUCUUACUAGCCACCUAAAUGAUCCAUCCCCGGUCACAGUUUUACGGGCUAAACAUGUGUCCUCUGGCCGUUCCCGAGAGGACACUCCAGACCUUCCCGCCGGAGAGGCACACCAACCUUGUACGCCGACCGGGAGGCCUCAUCUCCCUCCCUGAGGGAUGGAAGGCUCCGGAGACCCGCCCGGGAAACUCACAGUACCGUUUGACGAAGCUGCUUCUGAAUGUGACGAUAGAGAGAAGCCUCGGGCCUGUGCACGUUGUGAUGUCGUCGGAGAAUACGGUCAGUGAUUUGAUCAAGUCCGUGGUAGAUAUUUACGUGAAGGAGAAGAGGAGGCCUUUGGUGAAGGAGACUGAUCCGCACCGUUUCAAGCUUCACUACUCACAGUUCAGUCUUGAGAGUAAGAAAUCGAUCAUGACAUUAAAAAUUAAGAUUAUGCUUCACAGUUCAAACUUUCUUUAAAUGUAUGCCCUUUUGUAGUGACAAUUUUAAAUGAAAGAUUUGGGUUACUAUAUAUACAGGUAUAAAGGCAGAUGAGAAGUUGAUACAGUUGGGAUCUAGAAAUUUUUUCUUGUGCUCAAAGUCGUCAGAUUCAGCUACCGUUUUAUCCAGCUCUGUCAGCAAUUGCUCAAAGGAAGCAGAGAAGGACAUCAAUUCCCCAUUUCCAUUGAUAAAAUUUAUGGAUUUCUUGCUGUAAUUUCUCUUUUGUUAUGAUCAUAUAUUUCAUGUAUCAUGCAUGAGUACUUGAGUAGUAUGCCUGUUUCUACAAAGAACUGUAUGAUCUCUAUAUAUAUGUAUAUGCAUGUUGUCGAUCAAUAUGUUUGUGCAAAUUAACAUUGCUGAUCGAGUAUGACUAACCCAAGACAAACUCAAUCAUAAGGAGUGCUUGAGGAGCCUCUUCAACUCCAUCCUAGUUAGUUUAAUUAUUACAGAACUAACAAGGUUAUACGAACCAUGCUGCUUGGUACUAGACUACUAGCCAAACGUCUCCGGCUAGGUAACUAGGUUCAAACAAGCUCGAUCACAAUCUGAAAGUGGCUUUGCUUGCUUGGUUUGCAUGUAUUCGAAACAUUGCCAAGUUCGAACUUCAAUGGAAUUAGGAUACACGUACAGGUUGCAUAGCAUACAGUGCUGCGGGACAUAAGUUUCCUAUUUGAUUAGGGUGUUGUUGCUUCAGCAUUGGGCAAGGCUUGGAUGCCUUUGAGAUGGGCCUUUUGAGUUUGAUGGGACAAGUGGGAAGAGAUAAAAGAUCUCUGUCAUUGUUAAUAUAAAAGCAAAGAAAAUAAAAAAUAGGAGGUAGAGAAUUAACAAACUCAACCUCGGGGCACCGCGUUGGGCUUGACUCUGCCGUCUUCGAGUCUCCUCCGACCAUCCCAAAUCAAGAACACACACUUUUCUCCGAUCCUUUUCCUCCUGUUUCCGCAGCCGCGCGUGAAUUUUCCUCCACGCGCCUCUCACAUCCGUGCUGGAGCUGCCAUUGAGUUAGUAGAUAGCUUAAAGAAAACAGAAGAGCAUAUAUGGGGGAUCUUUUCGUUUGGCUCAUCUCCUUCUUCCUCCUUAUUACCCUUCUUGCUCUUGUUGUCUUCCAGGUGGGUCUGUCCCUAUAAGCUCCUUUUGUCAAUUUCAGUGUUUUCUGUUUUAUUCCGGAAACUAAAUCAGAAACCUUAAAUUACUUCACUUUAACUAGUUUCAGUUUAAAGGGUUCUCUGUACGUGCUCAAGUUUGUGUUUUUGGGGUUUCGUUGGAGCUCUUACAGAAUUGGCUUAUUGCUUUAUCUCAAUGAGCUUGCUUUUGUCUGCAAAAUCAUGUCAUUCUGUUCUUUAGGUUUUGAGUAUAUUGGAUGUGUGUUUGUGUUUUUGCGUUGGUAUUCUUGAAUAUAGAUUGAGAUUGUAUUCCAACAACAAUUUGGUUGAAGCCGAAACCAAGAACCAUCAAGAAAAGAAAAAAGACGUAAUUUAUUUAAUUUCAUAUCAUCCUUGUGUGAAACAUGAGACCUUGUUCGGAAUGAUUCAUAUUCUAAUUGGUGACGACAUACCUUGAGAAAUUGAUUUAAUGUUGAAAUUGCUAUUGGGAAUAUUAUGUUAGGACAUAUAUAUAUGACAGUGGCACUAGCUAUGGUUGAUUGUUUAUAUAGCAUCUGUCUAGUACCUUAUCAAAACUGAAUCUUCCACUGUUAAAAUUGUUGCAGCUGAUGUGCUUAGCAGAUCUAGAGUUUGAUUAUAUCAACCCUUAUGACUCUUCAGCACGGAUUAAUAGAGUGGUUUUGCCUGAGUACAUCAUAGAAGGAGUAUUAGGAGCCAUAUAUCUUGUAACAGGGCAUUGGAUCAUGGCACUUUUUACUGCUCCUUACCUCUAUUAUAAUGUGACACUGUAAGUCCUGUUGCCUUACACAUGAACUAAUGCUUUUCUAUUCGCAUUACUGUAAACUUGUAAGAAAAAGAGAAGAAAAGAUGGGGAAUACAGUAAGAAAGAGUCCCAAACCAAGCUAGUUUUUUUAUCAGCAUCAAGAAGAUGCAAAAAUUAGAGUAGACUUGAAAUUGUAGAAACGGGAAAGGAAAUGUUAAAAAGAAGUAAAUAAUACUUCGAAUCUACAGUGAAGUGGGGAGCAAGUGCAGGAUACACAUAAAGAGGCCUAUAAGUUUUUUAAUUUCUUUAAAUUUUUAUCUUGCUGCAACAACAUUGAUGUUGGAAUUGUCUUAUUUUGGUGCCGUUAGCACACAACAGACCAAAAUUUAAACCUGCACAUUUAUAGUUCAUGUACCAUCUGAAUUCUUUUUGGGGGCUGGGGGAUGGGGCCUAGGUCAGAUGAUGUACAAUAAUGUGUUGAGUUUAGAACACUGCUCCAAGUAUGCUAACACCAUCACUGGUUUGUUGAUGCAAAUGAAAAUGGUUUAUGUCACACGCAAGCUGGUUGAUAAGAUCUAACCCAAUCGGCAUGGAUGAUAACCUGAUAUCUCCAUGAUGUUUAGACUAGAUGAUGGUAUAGUAGUGUAUCAUGUCUUGGUGCUGCCUUCAGUCUCAUGACCUUAGAUUUUGAUCUUGAGUUUAUGAUCUUGCUAACUUUCUCCUUUUUCUGAGCAGGUAUAUGAGUAACAGGCACCUCGUAGAUGUUACUGAGAUAUUCAAUAUGCUUCACAAAGAGAAGAAGCAACGGCUCUUCAAACUCUUCUAUCUUGUUUUCCUUCUCUUUCUCUCGAUAUUCUGGUACUGUGCCUAAUAUAGUUACACAUCUUCCUUGAAAUAAUCUUUUUAGGUAUGCUAAAUACAGGUUACUCAUAUUCUUUUGCCCAACUUUGCAGGAUGAUUCUAACUGCAUUGGAAGACCACGAGUAAAACGGAUAAUUGCUGCAUCAACUGACUGUUUAGCAGAACUCUUCAGUUCGUUGCCCCUAAGUUGCUCUUUACAGCUUUUACUCCACCACGACUGAUGUAAUUUGUGCUACUUUCAUUGAUGUUGUAUGAUUAUUCGAUGGCAGUUUUCUUUGGUACGGCUCCACGAUAUUCUUUUCAACCCCUUGUAUCGUAGCUGUAGUGUAAGGACUCAUGAUCGUGUAUUCUUAGUAUUCUUAGGUUGUCAGGUUGAAGCAAUCUAAACUAGUCGAAUAAAUCUAUUAAUUCAGACAUCGUUCUGUUCAGUUUCAAUGUGUGGCUGAUGAAGUUAUGAAUAACUCUAUAAUAAUUUGUUGAGAUCACACAUUUGAAGCUGAUAUGCCUUAAUUUGUUGAGACUUGCAUUUUCAUUUUCACACGCUUAAGUUGAACAUAAAAACAAUUUGACUUAAAUCAAAGAUGGAUUUCUUUUGAUCUAUAAGUUUAAACAUAUAAAUUGUUAUGAAAUUGUGAGUUCUUGACCGAGUUAAAAAAAAAAAGUAUGACCAAGUUGUCAAUGCUUCAUCCUCUAUGAGUCUAUUAAAUGACCACAAAAAAUAGUGUGGUACUUCUGACCAAAGUAAAAAUGAAAUAAAGCUAUAUGAACAAAAGUGAAAUUUCUUUUUAAAGAUAAAAACUGAAAUUUACUCGAAGAUAAAAUAAAAAUAAAAAUAUGGGUUGAUGCCCGAAGAGCUUUCUUUCAUAACUCUUAGAAGCUCCGGAUCAGAGAGAGGUCAUCUUCAAAAUCCCAUCUUGUUCGUAUCUCUUUUUCUUAAAUUUAAGUAACUAUUUAUUCAAGAGCUGUUUGGGUUUGUAAUUAAGUUUUGAUUCUUGUACCAAAUGAAUGUGUUGAUCUGGGUUGGGAUUGGUUUCGUGUGCUCUAUAGAGAUCAGAGACUGGUAUUGAGUUUGUCUCGGAACUCUUGAAAGUUUGAUUCUUUAGUGUUUAAUUCAGGUCCUCUAGAGUGGUGUUGAACGUUUUGUUGAUGGGUUUUAGUUAUUCAUAGGAUGAAUACCAAUCACUGGUCGAAUGUGAAUAUGUCUGGAGAAGUGAGUGCAUUGCUCAUGAUUGUUGUAUCCGGAGAUUAGGGUCCUAUUUUUUGUUGCUUUGAUCAGUUCUUUGUUCUUGUGGUUUCUUAUAUGGUCAAGAUCUAGGAUGAUUAUAAUCAGGGUAUGUUGUUCCUCAUCCCUUGGUUUUUGUUUUGCAGUUGAAGAUUUUUAAGGUUUGCUGAUCCAUAAUGGUCAAUGCCACUAGAGGACUGUUUAUCUCUUGGUAAGAUGCUUGUACCGAUUUUGGGAUGUUUAUCUCUUGAUGCAUAAUGGUAAAUGCAACCAAACGUUUGAUUGAACUCAAAUAAAUGAUAAAGAUUAAGAAUAGAGCUAUUAUUAGGCCUUCAAGCAACUGUCUGGAUGCUGAAUCUUUUCUGUCCGGUAUGAUGGUUCUAAGGCAGAUUUGGCAUCUUUCAAGUAUCCAUGUUUAGGACUAGGAGACCUUUCCGUAUGUAACAUAGGGUUUCAGGAAGCCUAUAUAAGAGCCUUUCGAGUCUUGCCUUCUUGGUUAUCUGGGGUGAGAUCAUCAGACGGGUGCAUAAGCCCACCAAAGAAGAAAACUGUUUAUCUUGGUAAGAUAGUUGUACCAGUUUUGUGUCACCUGUAUCCCAAUAGUUUACAGAACCAAAAUAAGUUUUGAGAACAUUUGGCUUAUCUUGGUUCUGGUUGCUCCUGUUUCAUAUGAUGUGUGUGAUAAUGAGAGUAUGGAUGUUCUUGCCUAAAAUCUAUUGGGGCUGAUCGUUUAAUCUAUUAGUGUUUAGGAGUUGAAAGUGAUGGUUUAGUUUUUAACUUCUGGAAAUCACAUUCCGACAGUGUUUAGUUGCUGUUUAAUCGCUCUCUAUGCUACAAAAGCAAUUGAGAUUAGGUUGUUCAUUUAGUAGAAUUUUAGCUGGCCUCGUAUUUUUAUGUUAACAUACAAAUCAAGCUGUAAGUUCAUCAAAGAGUAGUUUGAGACUCGGAGUUGCCUCGUUUGCUUAGUCAAUCUCUUUUUUCUGUCUCUGAAAGCAUCUGUAUUUCUCUUGUGCAGUGACAUACCUAUGGCACAGUUCAUCAUCAACUACAACAAUUCACUGCCGCAAUCACAAAAGUUCAUUAUACACGUCUUGGAUGGGACUCACCUCUUUGUGCAACCCCAUGCAGCUGAGAUGAUAAAAAGUGCCAUUUCAGAAUUUAGAGACCAGAAUUCUUACGAGAAGCCUACUUAAAUAUCUUCUAUGGACCAGAUGUUUACAUUGUACCUUGAUUUCGAUCAUCCUUUUAUCUUGAAAUUAGUGAAUUUCAGCUCUACAUGAGUAAGCAUUUACCUCCGUGUGAACACACAAAAGAAGUUAAAGAACUGUGAGGUCUGCUUGCAUUAUCCACUUAUAUUGGAUUGAAUGUUCAUGAAGGGAACAUUGCUCUCAUUUUGGUCUUAAGAUAGCACAUUUGAUAACUCGCAAUCGAUGCCAAUGUACAAGAUAGUUCGGUUCACAUUUCUGAUCAUUCUUAUUUGCAAGUGCCUCAACCUGUGCUUUGCUGGAGGUGUUUCUUGCAGCUUCUGAAGUAUCAAAGUUGCGCUCAUACUUCAUAACUGAGUAUAAAAACCUAUAUUCAACUAGAUUUACAAGAAAAUUAAACUGAUUUUGUACUCUUUAUAUCCAAAUAAUCACAGCCUUACCUUAAAUUAAUCCAAGACAGUAAUCCAUGUGUUCAAGAAAACAACUUGCUCCGGUAAAGACCCAACUUGGAGUCUUGGACCUUCCUUAGCGGGUCGGGCCGGGCAUACUCAUGACCCGACUAUCUUGGCUUUUCUUUCUAAAACAGUUUAGAUUGGUUUCAGAAAACAAGCUGCAAGGUUUCUCUUAUUCUCUUCAGCUCUGUGCUCGCGAAAAUGGCAGUCUCUUUUGCCACGACGACGUACACUCCAAGCCUUCAGCCCCAAGCUAGACUCUCUCCCAGGUUCUCUUUCUCUCACUUGGGUUUCCUCUGUUUUUCAAUCCAAAAGUAAAAAGAACGUUCUUGAUUGUAAUCUGUAAUUGGUGUUCCACAGUUGCUCGAUAAAGCAUUUUUCUGGGUUAAAGCCUGAAUCUUUAGGUAUGUUGAGUCCUUGUUGUUAAACCCAUUAGCUAAUUUUGGCCUUCUUUUGUGGGAUGUAAUCGAUUUUUUGAAUUUUGUUUUGUAUCUGAUAAGGUACUUUUGGAGCUAAAAAUCCAAACUUGACGGUUGAGUUAUACAGCAAAGUUAGUAAGAGCCUUCUGCCCAGGUAAGGACUUAUGGUAGUGUAAUUUAUUUGUGUAAUCCUUGGUUGAGUAACAAGAUUAGGGUGCUUUCCACUUGGUUGUUAAUAGCAUUAAGGUGGAUUUAGAUGGUGUACUUUAGUGUAGGUAUUGGAAUCGUGCUUCUCAAACAAGAAGGUUUUUACUAGAUUUGUAUCCUGUGCCAGUGUUUAACAUGAGGUAGACUUGAGUUGUAUUAACAGCAUUUUAGUCAAAGAAAAAGACCUGUCUUCUUUUUCCGUUGAUAACUACUUAUUUGACUGAGGUUCGUGCAUGUUUCUGUUCUUGAAUAAGUAGACGCAUAUUGAGGGCUUUUUUGUUUACUCUUUAACAACUUCAUAUAAAGCUGAAAGUCAUUUUUUAGGAGCACAGCAUGCUUAUAAUGCUAGAUUAGUGUGCCCACUUUAUAUGUUAGGUUGAAAUAUGUCUUUAGAAGUUUCAUGAUUCAUCGUCAAUGGAGAAGCUUAUAGUGAUUCAUUCAAAUCCCUAACACUUUUUUUAGCAGAUUUUGAGAGUGUGAAACUGCUUGAUUUGCUUCUGUUAUCUCAAAAUAUAGAAAAUUAUAUGUGCAUUGUACAUUGUUUGAAUUGCUAAAUCAGACUGUUAAUGCAUGGAUGAUGCAGCUUUCAUGUAUGCACUUUUCAGGACAGGAAACCACAGAUCAUCACGUGCACAAGUUCGAAUGAUGCCAAUAGGGACACCAAAAGUUCCCUAUCGAACUCCUGGUGAGGGAGGUUGGCAAUGGGUUGACCUGUGGAAUGCUCUGGUAAGUCAUUACAGUAAAUUUCACAUCAAACAAACACGCAUUUAUUGAGCUAGGGAAACGGGGCCUUGCAGCUAACUGACCCUAAACCUUACCUGAACCAAAAUGUUCUUUAACCUGGCUGUAGUAUCCUUUCUCUUUCUUAACCCAUAGUAUUUGAAAGUCUGGUAGAGUUUUCCUUGAACAUGUCUUGCUAGUGGUAGUAAAAUAAGAUUAACUGACAUCCUAUGUCAAGAGUGGUGUUGCAUCGUUGUUGAAUCUUUUUCUCUUUUUAAAUUUCGUCCUAUACAAAAUAUAAAGUGCCGUGGGAUAGUUCAGCUCCCUUAGUAGUGGAAUGACAAUGAGAGUAACUGACGUCCUAUGUCAACAACUGUGUUAAUUUCAACUUCUUUAUCCGGUUAUUACUGGAAGCUCAUUUUAUUGUGCGUCUCUAAGAUGUCUCUAAUGUAAUGGAAAUGUAGUACCGGGAACGUGUUAUCUUCAUUGGGCAAAAUAUAGAUGAAGAGUUUAGCAAUCAAAUUCUGGCAACAAUGCUAUACCUCGACACUAUUGAUUCGUCCAAAAGGCUGUAUAUGUAUAUCAAUGGACCUGGUGGAGAUGUAAGCUUUCAAUUUUUCAUGAUGAACUUCCCUUACUUAUUUCUCGAUCUUGUGGUUCCAUGUGGUAUAUAUCUAAAACCUACACCAUUUACAGCUUACUCCGAGCAUGGCUAUUUAUGAUACUAUGCAAAGCAUACAGAGUCCUGUUGGCACUCACUGUGUGGGCUAUGCCUAUAAUUUGGCAGCCUUUCUUCUUGCAGCUGGUGAAAAGGUAAGUUUCUUUCCCUUUCUAAAUCCAGGUAACAAAAGCAUCAUGAACCUGGUGGGACAUAUCAGUUUUUUAGUUUGCUACUUUGCUUCCUUUUUUCUUUUUUUUUUUUUUUUGCCUCAGAAGUACGGAAGUUAAUACCAUUAAGGGUUCUAUGAAAAUUGACCAUCUAAGUCGCUGGAAACGUGAUGAUAAUCCACCAUGGUAUUCUGAACCAUUAAGGUUUUAUGGGAAAUUGACUCCAUUUCAUUAUAUCUGAGCUCUUCCUUCACAUGGCCUUGUGUGCAUUAAUGAUUUGAUGGAAUAUCAUCAUAUUUUUCCAGUAACUUAUAAAAAUAUAUUAUAAACACUACUUUGAACUUAGAUGGUUGAACUCUAAAAUUCCACCUUUUUGUUAUUUUCUGCUUAGGGUAAUCGAUUUGCAAUGCCACUAUCAAGAAUUGCACUGCAGUCUCCUGCUGGGGCCGCUCGUGGUCAGGUAUAACCUCGUACUUUAGAAAGUUGUGAUUCCUAGCUUUCUUCUUUGCAGAUUCUUAGUCCUUUCUUAAAUUUUUCAAAAAUUUGUGGCAGGCUGAUGACAUACGCAAUGAAGCAAAUGAGCUUCUCAGAAUCAGAGACUACCUUUUUAAUGAGUUGGCAGAGAAAACCGGCCAACCAAUUGAAAAGGUUAGCUAGUUUGACAAGUAAAACUUAGAAUUGCGUCUGGUUAGGUGGUUUGAUGACCUCAUUAAGCAUGGUAACUUGCUUGCUUCAGUAAGUGCUGCACCUAUUGCAACAUUGAAGCAUUAUAUUAUUUUCUUAUUUUGGAGUUCGGUUGCCAACUUUUUGUUUUUGGAAUUAAUCAUUCACUUACUUUAAAGUUUUAAACAUUACAUAAGCAAAGUUGCCUAUGUGACUCCUAGGUUGAAAAUGGUUUAUGCCUAUUUGAAUGUCUGUGGUCCUUUAUAACUCGAUUGCAAUUUUGUUUAUCUAAAAUAUUUGUCAUGAUAGGAUGAAUGCUCAUUCUGAAAUGUGUGUGUGCAGAUUAACAAAGACCUAAGUCGGAUGAAGCGGUUUAAUGCACAGGAGGCUCUUGAGUAUGGGCUCAUUGAUCGUGUAGUAAGGCCGCCUCGUAUUAAGGCCGACUCACCUAGCAGAGAAGCGGGAACAGGUCUUGGUUAGUACAUAUCUUGGCUUCUCAGUGGCUGAAUUGGCUAACAGCAGCUAUAGUAUUCAAAAUGUUUCUGCAGUUCCGUUUUUCUGUUGUAGUAUCUUCUAUAUAGUCAGAAUUGCUGCAUAGAAACUUUUCAUUCUCUUUAGAAAGCUUUUGGAUGGAACUAUUUUCUGAAAACAAGAUGCUGUAUCAUUUAUGCACCCUCCCAGAGAACAUAAUCUAAAUGGAUAUUUUAUUCUCAUCCACAUGGAAGUGAUGGAACACAGUCCGGUGGUUUUCUAAGUGUUUCAUCUUCUGUGGUAGGGAAAGAAAAUUGAAUAGUGAUAUUAAUCACAGCUUUCAGAACUAAGUCUUCCGGCUAUUGUUAUGCUUCCGGCUAUUGUUAUGUGCCAUAUUACUUUUCCAGUUGACUAUCUAAUGAAGGGCUGUGGACCUGUCACUGUAUAUUAUUUGAGAUUAGCAAACAAGAUCACAGUAUAUCAAUAUCAAUAGCAAUCUUCUUUACAAAAGUUGUCAACUAAAAAAGGGAAGAAUCUAGAAGGCAACAACAUCAUACAGAAAAGUUCAUGAUCUAUUUCACUUUAGGAUACAAAAAGAGACGGAAACUUUUUUUUUUUGGUUUGGUUUUGUUUCUAUGAGAGUAUGAGCUAAUCUGCUCUACAUAUUUAAUCUACUCUGUAGAGAAAAUUUGAGGGUAACGUAUUUACAACUGUAAAGAUUACAAGGGAUUGAUGCAACCAAAAAACUGCAGGGGACUGCAUAGAUCCCUUAACCUCUCUUCCUGCCAUCCCUUGUAAACCCUACCAAUGAAGUCUUCUACUCUUGUCUCCAAGUUAUCAUCAGAUUCAUCCGUGUCUCCCCAACCAAUUUCAUCAUUGCUACCAUUGUCGUCAUCAUCUUCAUUGUAACCGUCAGAAUCAUAAUCUGCAUCUUCUUCUUCACUUUCAUCAACUUCAUCAUCAACAUCCUCAUUGCCAUUAACAUGAUCGUCGAUAUUACAGUGCUUGUUGCUACCAUCAUCCUCAAUAUCGUCAGUUGCAUCCUCUGAUGAACUGGACAGGAAUGGUAAGAUGCUUUCAACUUCCUCGGUAGGUGGUCUAUGAUCUCCAACUAUGAUAGCUAAGACUAUGAUGUUACAGAGCGAGAACACAAACAGAGGAUUGGAUGAGAACUUAAGAUUUCUUUGGUUGGAAAUCGACUGAAACAAAGAGCUCAGCACAAGAACAAUAGCUAUAAACAGCAACAGAAAGACAGGCCUAGGUACCCAAACAAGCUUCAUGCCCUGGUUAACAAACGAAUAGGUGCGGUUUUGAUUGUUUAAUUCUGAAGUCUCCUCUUCGAACAUACAAAUAUAUAGAGCUGAUUGCUUCAUUGUAUUUGAUAGAGGAGAUUUUCCGGGAAAGUUUGAGAAGAGUAUAUUAUUUGUAUACUCCAUGUCACAUUAAAAUGUAGCUAGUUUAGGGGUUAACCCAAGUCAAAAGUGAAGAAAACUUCCAAGCAUAUGACAACAUUUCUGGGUUUAUGGGUUCCUUGCUUAGAAGCUCAGAAGGGAGCUAAAAGUCUAAAACACAAGCAAGUCCACGUAUCAAUUGGGUGUUAAUUUGGGCAAAGAUAAAAAUAAUGAAGCCAAAUAGCCAAUGCAAACUUGAAAUGUGGAUUAUUAGGGAAGUCAGUCUGAUCAUAGUUUUAAUAUAAUUUAGUAUCUCAAUGAUUGUAAAGAUUUUUGUUCAUCUUCACAAGAAAUUGGCCAGGAUUUGUGAAUCUCUGAAUCAACUUUUAAAGCCCUGUGAGGUAUUGAACAAGCCAAUUUGUUUACAGCGUAUAGUAGACGGGUGACUUGGGGAUGUUGAUGUUGGGUUUAACACAAGUUUCUGUGAAAUUUCCACAUGAGAGGUGUUUUUCGCUUUUUUCUUUUGGGUUCUGCACUUCUGCAUGAGCCAUGAAACUUCAGGUAGUUGACAAAAACAGCCGCAGAUUUGGGGAUGUUUUGAAGUUGACAUAUUGAAAUCUGGGCGGCAAAAUUCUGUAAUAAAAUAAAUGAUCACGAAUUUUUAUUCUUUUUGAUCGGUGGGUGGUUUGCCACCUCGGCAUCAGCGAGUACCAACACACUCACUCAAUUAGUAUCCAGACCGAGGUUCACGACAUAUCCCGGCAAAAUGAGACUUAUCUCUUUAGCAAAACAUUUCAAUAGAAAUAAGAUCACUUGAGCUAACAAAAGUUCAUCGGUUAACCUGAUAAAAAUAUGUGAAGAAAGGUCUUGGUUGAACUCACUUGGACUUUAGCUCAGAAUUUUCAGACGCGGCUAUGUCCAUUGUUACAAAACCGCAUAUGCUUGAGCAGUUGAGUGGGCAAUUCCCAGUGGCACAACUCUUUUGUUUAAGUUCAUGCACCCGAUUUAAGUUGCCAAGAAAUGGGGAUUGCUCAAAGCUGACCGUUGAGUGUUUCUUCUAUUCUGAUUUGUUUAACAAGAUGAUUAGUAGCUUCUCAUGAUGUUGAUUGGUAGCUGACUAGAGCCGACUAGGGUUUGUCAUGCUUGCUGGGAUUGGAAAGAGACUGGGAAAUUUUUAAAAACAAAAACCUCAAAAUCAAUGUUUUGUUCUCGGCCAUCCGAAUCACUCGAGUUGAAGCAACAGAAUCAAACAAAUGAGACAAAAGAGUGAGAUUGUCACAAACAACUUCUACAUCACAUUGCAUCAAUCCAAAGAGAGUCAGAUUCGAGUGGGGGUGCUAAUAUUACAUUACACUACUCUACAUGACACAACAACAGCAGCAGUGCAACAAGAGCCUAUCUAAGCGGCUAAAUUAAAUGAUACAUCAAAGGGGACCAACCCCUGAUGAAGCUAGACGACUAGUAGUCAACGAGUUUACAGACAACAAACAAGGUGGAGUGAGAUCCAACAGUUGGGGACUGGGAGAUGAAUUGCCGUUGUGGUCAGUGAGAAACCUCAUGUUGCAACAAAUAAGCAUGGACUCUUCAAAUUACACCUCCAGGCACUGAUACAUUAAUGUCAGUCUUACUCUUAUGAUCAGAUGGAUAUGAGGACCAGUUAUCACCUCGGAAGGAAGUCGAAGACGCGAGGUUUGGUUUUGGCUCAGCACUUGAAACAGGAAUAGCCAUAGUUGGUGUUGCAUUAGAAAUGUAUUCAUGUUUCUGUUUCUUGGGUUUCUGCUCGUGCUGGUUUCCCGCCAGAAAACUGCCAACUACAACCUGAUAUCAAUCAAGAAAGACAAAUUAAAACCAUGGUACAUGUUGUUUUUCAAAUUUCAAAAGGUAACUGAUAACCAUCCUGCUGUUUUUGUUCUUUUUUAUUUCCGUCCAUGAAGUUUGGACCCUAGACACUGAUCCAUACCUGCACAGGACUUGCAGCAACUAAUAGUCCAGCAACUCCACCACCUACAACACGCCCAUCUGGACUUGCUAAAGAAACACUCAUCCCACCUGAUCUGCUUCUUGUCCCUCCAAUUUCAUUUGGCAUAAAGGAACCAGAUAAAGACAGUAUCUCAAAGCGACCCUGCAAGAAAAAGGCAAAGAGAGAAAGUUCAAUAAACUGCAAGAGAUCCAAUAUUAAAAACUGAAAGUUGUAAAAACAGAAAUAUGGUCCAGUUUUUUAGAAGUAUCAGAUGAAAACCAAGUCCUUAAAUCUGUGGAUAAUGUGGCCGAAAAAGAAGAUAUGUAGCUGCAUUUGGGGAUAGUUGAAAAGGUUGUGGGUUGGGAUUGCAACAGGCUGACAAGAGAUAUAAUCAAUGCAUGGCCAAUGUUAUCCUAAUGGGAAGAGUUAAUGUACCGAUGAUGGGCAAUUUCUGUCCUCUUCAAGGUCAAUUCUGGGCAGACAAACAAAAUUUUAGCUUUUCUACGAUGAAGUUUGCAUUAAAACAACUAUUCAUCUUCAUUGAUUCCAAUUACCCAUAGAGUCCACCACAAUUCUAAUCUCACCUGUUAACUUUCCUAGUUAUUGGCAGUAUCAGCACCAAGAGUGCUAGACAUUCAGCAGUCUAUAAUGCACACGCAACAACAGAAUAGUAAUACUGGCCAAAGAUUGGGGGUUUGACUACAAACUCACUAGCUGUAAGCCCCGCAGUCCAAAUUAUGACAUCAUAACAAUAACAGAGUUAAGGGAAAAGAGCUCUCAUUCUGAAGGGGCGAAAAACACCUAUAUAUUUAAAUGUCUUUGAAGGGAUAUACCCAAAUCAUUGUAGAAAUACCCCACUAUCUUACUGAAGGAAACUAGCAACAAAACAAGGAUAAGAUGCAUCACCUCAUAUGUCAAUGUACCACCAGAAGAAUCAGGUUGACGAAGUGUAACACUUGAUAUCACACCAUUUGCGGAGAGCACACAAAUAGCUCGAGGACCUUGUUGAGAAAAUGAUAUAAUCUUCAUCAUGACAUCCUAAGACAACCAGAGUUGUUACAGAAAAAGUCAAGUUUAAGGUCUUCAAGUACUCAAGAAGUUAGAAACAAAAAAACUACUAAAGAAGUUACUAAAGAUCCGACACGUGUACUAGUUAUCAAAGACAUCUGCUGACUCUAGUCUCCAGCUAUUUAAACCAUGUAAUGUACUUAUUUAGACCAACAAUCAACAUUAACUAGAUUCUUCAAGUUAAUUACCUCGCCAGAAUUAACAUUGAUGAUAUGAGGAGUAAAAUUAGCACCAACAGAGCAUGCAACCCAUUCACCUACACAAAUGAAAUUCUCACAAUAUGAGACACCUGGAAAAGAGCUCUCCACUUUGCGAUAGAUUCUGUAAGAUUUGCACUUCAUCAAGUUUGUUACAGAAAUCAAAGUCAGGAAAAGUAAUAUAGACGAUAGAGUACUAAUUCAAAAGAUCAUUAACAAUCUUUUAUAGGUUCCCUUAAAAAAGCUUUAAUCCUUUGUUUUACCAAAAACAACCGUUGACUCACACUUCUGCCAAUUGCAUAUCGCACUCCAUAGAACCAACAAUAACACCCUCAGCAUCAACCAUACACAAUAGAUUAGGAAGUAACUCUACGACAAUUCAAGAAACUAGAUUAACGAAUAUAUCUUAUACAUCAACAUAUUAGGUAGUCUUUAAAGAUUCCUAAUAAUUUCUGUUGGACAGUAUAUGGUCUGAGAUAGUAAAGUUUACUCAGAACCCUUGUUCCCAGUAGAUUAUAUGCCCAAUGAUUCAUGCAGUACAAAGGUAACCACUCAUAAAAGUAAAGUGGCAGUUAUUGUUUAUGCUAAAAUCAAAAUUGGUACCAUUCCUUAUCUAUCUUGUUUCAGAAUAACUAAUCAUGCAAAGAAAUAAUAAUACAAGAAAAGAAAGUCCGAGUAUCUGUAUAUAAGCAGAUAUCGAGCAACAAUGAAAGAACACACAAUUAAUGGAUUAUCAGAAAGGACAAUUGAGAACAAGCUGAGCUAUAUUUAAUGCGUCAGUGAAACAAAUCCAGUGAAUGGAAAGUACAGAGAUGCAUUAAGAUGAAUGAUCCAUCUGAAAAGAAAACCAGCAACUGCAUACAAACUUAACAAACUGAUUUGACUAAUGAUGAUUAACAGCCAAAAAAUUACUCAAAAUUCCACAUGGCAUAUUUCUGCUGAUCUAUAGCUAAGAUUAAAGAUUCCACCCUACAUCUUGCAGAGAACUAAAUCAAGCUGACGCAAAUGAAAACUAGCAGCACACGAUAAGACUCAAAAAGCCAACGACCAUCGCGGUCUCAUCCUGAGUAACCAAGAAUACAACACAGACUCAGAGCUGAGCUGGGUAUCUUCAAGAAGGACAAAACUGUAUCAAAGAGUGGGGAGAAGGGGGAUAUCCUUUUUUAGGUUCAUGUCAGCAAGUUUAAGACAGGUUUCAAGUCCAAGCAGUCUGUAUACCAUCACUUGCAGACUUUAGCAGGUACACAACUUGGCACCUGGCAUAAAUCUCCUUGCUCUAAAAAAAGGUGAGAGAAAUGCCAAAGGACAGCCAUAAGAAGAAGAUUCCAUCAUUCCCAUACCAACCACAAAACUCAUCUUUUCAGAACCACCACACAAACACCAAGAUCUCUCUCUCUCUCUCUCAAUAACAGCAUCAAAUCACAGGUCCCACAUCUACCCAACCAAGAAUCCCAUAAACCCCAAAGCUCCAUCAAACACACCCUCUUAAAUUCUCAAUCCCUCCCAACAGAAAGACUCGAUCUUCCCCCCAAUCCCCACAUAGAAACAACACUAAAGAUCACAACUUGAGCUCAGAAGCAACUAUAAAAUGACUCAAAACUCAAAAGGGUAUAUGCAUCAAACAAAUAAAAAACCAUUCUUUCAUUACCUAAAUUCUCCACCUCAUACUUGGUCUUGCUCACCGAGCUGGCCGGCUUCACUUUCCCCCGCGGCUGCUUCUCCGCCGAGAAAUCAAUCACCGGAGGCGGCGCCGCCGACGAUAUCGGCUUCGGUGACAGCGCCAUAGUAACACUCCCAUCCGGCCCAUACUUCCUCGGCCUCCCUCUCUUCUUCUUCACCGGCAUCGACCCGGCCGCCGCCGGCACGGUCGCCGCCGUGGGCGGCGGCGCAACCGGCGGCGUAGGUGCUGAUCCGGCGUUAUUUGCCGGGUUUUCGAGCCUCGGCGCCACGUGGUAGUCUGAUGGAGCAUCUGAUCCCACCACUGUAACCCCACUACUAUUCACAGCUUCCCUUCCCUCCAUUGAUAGAGUUACCUUAAACCCCAAAGCUUGAGUUUUUUUAACAGAAAACCAUUUUUACUUUACUGAUCUAAACCCACCCAGCUCAAUGAUGCACUAAGAAUUUUGAACCCACAGAAUGAUGGUAGGAACCCAAAANNNNNNNNNNNNNNNNNNNNNNNNNNNNNNNNNNNNNNNNNNNNNNNNNNNNNNNNNNNNNNNNNNNNNNNNNNNNNNNNNNNNNNNNNNNNNNNNNNNNNNNNNNNNNNNNNNNNNNNNNNNNNNNNNNNNNNNNNNNNNNNNNNNNNNNNNNNNNNNNNNNNNNNNNNNNNNNNNUGAAAGCUUCCUAGAGAUUUUGAACUCAAAAAACUACAGGAUAAGCAAAAGAUUAAAAAUUUGGCAGCAAAAGUAUAUGAAUGUUUUAAUCUACUGGAAGCUGCAGUGUUAAGCUGGAGAAGACUGAGCUUCAAGGCAAAGAGAAGGAAAUUUUAUUUUCUGGGAAGAAAAAAAGAUUGGAUUUUUAUUUGUUUUGGGGAUGGGAAGAAGAAAAAGAAUGGAGUUUUGAGGUCUGUGAAUUCGGAUUUCAAUGGGAAAAUGGUGAGAUAAUAAUAAGAAAGCUUGUUUUUGUUUUUCAGCUUAUUGGGUGCCUAACUUUCCUAAGACUGUCCGAAUUGAGAUUAAAAAAUUGGAAAUGAAAAGAUGGAAAUAAAAUAAGUUUUUGAAUAUGUUUAACAAUUUUGUUAAAAUAUGAAUUUUCUGGUUUUGGUUGGAAUCCGGUGAGAAGUAAUUAUAGUUUAUAAAAUAAUUGGUAGUGGGUAGGGGGAUUUUCUUUUCUUUAUUUUUUAAGUGUGGUUUUUGCUUGAAAUACGGGCAAAAGUGAAAUGGAGUAAUUAUUGUUUUUAUUAUUUAUAUAAUUUUUUAGGUGAAUGGAAAAGUAAAAUUAGGUUGCCAAGGCAUGAAGAAAGAAAUUGUCUAGAAAAGGGAAAAAGAUGGGGUGGGGGGGUGGGCUUGGGUAUGCAUCAACUUUUCCAAGUUAUGGUACAAAUGAAAAAGAUAAUUCAAACAAAAAAAAAAAGCAAAAACCAUACCAACCUAUAAAAUAGAAAUGAAAAAAACAAAUCAUAGAAAGAUAAGUCUCAUUUGCAAUAGCAAUCUCCACAAACUUCCACAUUGAGGUACAACUCUCUUGUCACUUUUAAUUAGGAGAUGAGCAACAAGAUGUUUGUUACUUCUAAAUUGAGAAUUGUUUGACUUUGGUAUAUAGUAGGAUAAUUAUAAACGAUUUCGACACACAAGAGUUAGGUCUUAAAUAUAGAAGUAAAACAAAAUGCGUAGAAGAAUAUGUAGUGUUAUCAUAAUAAUCGUUGUUAGUUUUGAGUCACUAUUAUUAUACAUAAUCAAAAUUUUCUCUUAAACAAUAUAACAAAGUAAAAACUCAAAAGACAAAGAAGUGCACUAACUUCAUAAUUCAUAUUCAUCCGGCACUUGAAGAGGUUUUAGGUUACUACAGAAAUGCAAGUUCUCCAUUUUGUGAAUUUAAAUAAUGGACCAACAAAAUCAAUUCGCGUUUGAAAUAUUAGUAUGUAUCAAGAACUAAACUAUAAUCUUUUGAGCAAGAGAGUAGCAAAAACCAUCCUAUCUUGUUCAUGUUAAUGGGGGCGAUGACUUAAAAUACAAUCAUACUCAUAGCAUUUGUGUUAAUGGGGAUCAAAUGACAAUGCAAAGUUGUGUUUUGUUUAAGAGGUAAAGAACCAAAAGAGAAGUGCUUGAAGUUUAUAGCGUGCUUAAAUAAAUUUGGGCAUGUUUAGUGGCAGCACAUGAUAUAGCCUUAUCUCAUAUAUUUUUAGUGUCUUAUCGGUUAAGAGAUAAUGAUUAUUUUUAGUCAUAGUGGAAUCAUAUGUACUUGGAACCAUGUUAACUACCAUUUGGCGUUCGACGCCCGGCAAAUAGCUUGAUUUUUUUUGAGAUUUGUGACAAGAUUACGACACUGGCCACACUGAAGUUUCAGAUUCUCCUUAACUUGAAAUUUCAGAGCGAGCUCUUAAUAUAAUAUCAGCAUGCACGUAGUUUAGUGAUUUAAAUUGUUCAUUUUACAUUGCAUCUGUGAGUACCGCAAACAAACAAUAAGUAUCACAAUUGAAAACAUUUCGGCUAUUUAAUUAUGAUUCUGUAAUGUAUAUACGUUUGAGGCGAACAUGUGAAAUAACAUACAUUUUACUUCUAUUGAUUACACGUGAUAGUGUCACCGGUGAAUAUGCCUUUUAUUUUUCUUUUGUAGGAAAUGAAUGUAUUACAUUUUGAAGGAGAGCACUAGGUGAUAUCUUGUUUCAUAUAUAUAAAAUUUGUGGUUUACUAUGAAAUAGUUUUGUUUUCUUUAGGAGGGAAGUGAAGAGGAAACCAACUCUUUCAUGGUAGAAAAAUCUUCUGUGUUUGUCCUUUAUUUUGAGAAAAUCUAAGAUUCGUUUUCCUUUUUCAAAAUUAACUGUAUAAACAAAGUGAAUAAAGAUGGUCUCACCGAAAAAUUGAUCAAAGAUUGGUAGAAAUUUUGGAAGUGAUCACACAUGGGAAGCACAUAAUAAAAUCAAGGGACACGAAUAAAGGACCACAAGCAUUGACCAAAGAAAAUGCCAUCGAUUAUGAGUAAUAUAUUCAAAAGACUAAAUGCAUCCUUUUCAAAUUAAGAACAGAUAAGUUACCAAAAACACCAGAAAAUUGUUAAAGAAAUUAAGAGUAGAUAAGAACCAACUAAUUAUUAAAUUGUGUGAGCAAUUGAAAAAUAUGGUGAUGAACUCGAUGCACAUUAGCUUUCACAAGUUUGUGUAUAUUUUUAUUUCAUUUUCCCAGUAUUAUUGGCCUGCAAGUUUUGAUUGGCAUCAUUUUUCAUCCCCUUUUCAUUGUUUAAUCAUAAUGGAAAUGGCCAAAUGGGACUUUAUAAAUUGUUUUUUAAUUUUGGUUGGUUGAAUGAACCCUAAUUUCAGCUAGCUUGACUGUAUGUAAUGGCAAGAAAGUUAUUUCAGCAGGCAAUAAUGAAUAGCACGGAAUUAGAAUAACAUAUCGUAUAUAUUAUAGUUGAAUUAAGAGACACUCCAUCCUAUAAGAGUUUGGCACUUCAAGCUGAGAUUAUGGAAUGCACCAUAUGUGUCCAUAUCAAAUUUAAAUACAAGAGUACGUUCGACUAUGAAAUAAUGCAAGGAGAGUAGUUAAGAGUGAAUAAGAUCGAGUGAUAUAUUUAUUCUCAAAAUACGGAUGGAUACGUAUUUGAACAUGCUCACAUAUAUAUAUAUUUAUAUAAUUCAUAUUCAGAGCGAAGCUUUACUUUGAAAUUAAAAUGUGAAGUUCCUUAUUUGACUCAUUUUUCGGUCAAAUUUCCACAUCUUCACCGUUUAGUUUGUAGAACCUAAUGCAUAGAUUACUUCUGCAAACUUUCAUCAAAUUUAAAGAUCGUUUAGGUUUUCAUAAUCAUUAUUUACACAUACAGUUUUGGUUAGACAAAUUUAUGAUUCGUUCAUUGAUUUAAUAUAAUUCGGUACCUUAACGAUCAUCAAUUUAGUUGAAACUUUGCAUAAGUGAUCUAUGUAUUAGUAUCAAUAAACUGAACGAUUGAGAUAUGGAAAUAUGACUGAAAAGUGAGUCAUAUAAGGAACUUCACACUUUAAUUUCAAAACGAAGCUUCGCUCUGAAUAUGAACUAUAUAUAUACAGAGACUUUCUCAGGUGCGGAUGUCCGUAUUUAUUCUUACGGUGCGGAUUUCCACUUUACACUCACUUUUCAAUCUAAUUUUCACAUCUUCACCGUCUAGUCUUUAGAUACUAAUGUAUAGAUCAUCUCUGCAAAUUUUCAGUCAAUUUAGUUAUCAUUAAGGCACUCAAACUCGAUUAAACCAAUGGAUGAAUACAAUUCUGUCGAACUUGAACCGUUCAUGUUUAUAACACAAAAAGGUAGUUUUGAGUACCUUAAUGAUAACCAAAUUGGCUGAAAUUUUGCAUAGAUGAUAUAUACAUUAGUAUCUAAAUACUAGAUGGUGGAGAUGUGAAAAUUCGAUUGAAAAGUGAGUGUAAAGUGGAAAUCCGCAGCGUAAGAAUAAAUGCGGACGUCCGCAGCUGAGAAUCCCUGUAUAUAUAUAUAUAUAUAUACACACACGAUCGUUAUCAGGUGCGGACGUCCGCACGGCUCUUAAAGUGCGGACGUCCCUCCUUUCGCCACAGUACGGCACCGGCGAGGGCGCGCCUCCACCCCAGCGGACUCCAGCAGCUUCCCCGACAACUUUUCAUCCCCGGCGAGUCCGCCGAAUUCCAGUUUUCCGCCCAGAUUGACUUUGUUUGAAGUUUUGGGUGAUCUGGCCGGAAAACUGGAAUUCGGGGGACUCGCCGGGGAGGGAAAGUGGUCGGGGAAGUUGUUGGAGUCCACUGGGGUGGAGGCGCGCCCUCGCCGGCGCCGUACGGUGGCGAACAGAGGGAAAUCCACACUUUAAGGCGGUGCGGAUGUCCGUAUCUGAAACGGACUAUAUAUAUAUAUAUAUAUACACGUCUAUAUAUACAUGUAGACAUACAAAUCAAGUACCCUACGUCGACACAAUAAUAUACGUCAAUAUAUACUAGGCAGGCAUGAUACAAGCAGCAGCAGCAAUGCUUAUAGUAUAUAUAAAACGUAGAUUACAGUACUACGUACUGUAUGAGAAUUUAGGCUGCAGAUCGAGACUGCAGAGAGUUUGGAGUAUCAGUCAAACCGAGUGUUGACUACUACUGCAUUCCAUGCAUGUUCAGAUCGAUCCAAUCUUAUUUUAGUAUCAACGUCGUCGAAGACUAGUCAAAAUUAGGUGUUGGUCAAGUCGAUCUCUUGUCAUCGAUCUGUGUCUCUGAUCAUCUUGCCUAUAAUAAUCUAUACGUUUUAUCUGUAUGAUCCUGGUGUACUAGCUGUUCUAGUUCUAGUUACCUAAAUUUGAAUGAUCUCUAUGUAUGGACUUUAGCCGCGCCCCGACUAUCUUCUAGCUAGCUAGGAGCCUAGGACCUGUAUUUCCAUAUAUUUCUACUGAAAUAACACGCAUGGAUUGUCAUGGAUGGCUAACGAAAGCAAAUCAUGCAUGGAGUGGCAAAUGGAAACAGCUUUUGUUUCCUGAUGAAUCUCAUCAUUGUUUGGCUCUCUAGCUGAUACUUAGAUAGUUAUAUCCUUGUAUGGAUUUCAAUUGUGUUGAUGCAAUGAAUUAUUCAUUCUUCUUCUCUCAGGAAAAAACAGCUAGAAGAAGUCCCACAUGACUAAUUGGCAAGAAGAAACAAAUACCUAAUUAAUUAAGCAUACUGUGAAGUUGUUGAAUUUGUACAUAUAUGCAUUACAUGUAGUUGACAGAGAGAGCAGCAGUCACUGUUAUUUCAUCAGCAAUUCAACCGGAAAAUUCCACACUAAACAGUUCGGUGUCAGACAGAGUACUUGAUAGACUAACAGAUUGAUCCCCUUCUCGAAUAGAAAGGGGCCGGACUUACAGUUAGUACAUACAUUCCGACGAUUGAGAUCAAAGGUAUGAUUCGGUUUGGGACUGGGGAUUUACAUUUUGAUUUAGGCUGAAGCAUGUAGGGAUCGAUUGUGUGGAUACACACGAGUCAUAUAUGAGAGAGUUUAUAUCAACUGAUUAAGUGAGAUAUAUGGUUAAUUAUGUACUAAUGGGCCUAUCUAUACCUCUGCUAAUUGAUCUUUAAGAAAACUAGCCUCUCUUUUGAAAGGCAUCCAGUUGUGUGAUAAGAGUGGGCCUAUCAGCUCUUUCUUGCUGAGCAAGGCUCACUUUGUCAUGAUCAAGUUUAAUUAGCCCAAAUCAUUAGGCCAAGCAUGAUUCAUAUAAUUUGUUCUCAUUUGGGCUAUUUCUGCAGGUUAUAGUUCAUGAGUACGUGCUGAUGAGCCUGCAGGUAGUUCUGUCAAUGACUGUUCUUCCUUUGGUGGUAUCUCUUCUCCCAAGCAAGUUCAAAUUUUGGCGACUCGCAUACGCUCAAGUAGGUUAACACUUAACACUAGCUAAUCCAACUAAAGUAUUUGUAAUGUUGCAAUUGGAUACUAAGGCUAUCUGCUCGCUUCAUGAUGAUGAUGAGUUGUGAGCACUGGGUCGGAUUUCUUGCGCUUAUGUUGUGUAAUGAUGCUGUUAAUGGUAGCUGAUGUGACAAAGGGGUAUGAACAAGAUGCUCAUCCAUGUAAUAAGACUCAACAAGCAUGCUGCUUAGUAAAAUUCAGACAACUAUGAAGCUCAUGGUGUUGGUAUCCCAUCAAUUAUUUUGAGGAGUCUUAUGUACCAAGAUUUGGGACCAAGAAUGACAUCAAUAUAUAACAUACACAUAUAAAAUGCUGCACAUCAUGGAUAACAAGGAAUCUUCUAAUUCUAAAAUGCUCCUUAAGCAACCCUUUCUGAUAGCUAAUGACUAAUUAACAGAUAGACGUGUACCCAAGCCAAGCUUGUAUUUGAAUAUUUUGGUCAACCAGAAAUCAAAUUCAAUGGUUGGUUUCUCUUAAAUAUAACUACAAGAAGAAAAUGCCAAAUGCUGGCAUGGCUUUGAUUCUGCUUACAAGCAGAAGAAGACCCUCUGUAGCAUCCAAGAUUCCAGUUAGCUAGAGCAGUCAGGUCUCUCUUUGGUGAAAACUAACGCUGACUUUGUUUCUUGAUAUUGAUCGAGACGUUAAACCAAUGAUAAUAAGGUUACUCUUGAGGAGGUUUAUUAUAGGCUUCCGAUGAGUUAGCCAGCCUAUACAACUGGUUAGUUCCAAUAAGAUAGGAUAAACAAGAAAAACAAUGUUUCCUGCAACUGUGACAUUGGGUUUCUCUCCCCAAAAUAUGGCCUUAUAUGUUUGAUGCUAUCUGGGUAUCUCUACGAUCUUCAAACUGUUCUUCUUUUGGCAAUAACCACUUCAAUUCCAGGCCUCAAUAUUCCUACUCCAGCUAAUCCUUUAGGUCGAUCAUGCUAUUAAAAAACCUCGGCGAUGUGAGAGAGAUCUCUAUUGGUAAAAUACUAACCGAAAACAUUAAGGCGUUACAAUUUUUGCCGACAUAGCAUAAGAAGGAAUUUGAGGAAGUUGUCCAGAAUGGCUUUGAUACUGUAAGAAUAUUGGACGCUUCUUGGUGGUUAUUUCUUCCUGUACGGAAUUUCUGAGAAAAAGGUACGGUCAUCCUGAUAGCUAGGAAGUUUCCAACAUUGUAUUUCACUUAACACGAUGAUAAAAACUAGCGAUAAUGUUCAUGAAGUGGCAACACUAUUUUUGAAUAAGAGAAUCUGCCAGGGAGGAAAUCACUAGAAAAAGAGGUAGCUUACAGGAAAAGGGAAAGGCUUUGUAAACUUGCUGAGACAGUGAGACAUGUAAAGCAUGCACCGACUUAUUUACAAAGCUAUGUGAACAACUGAAUAGGGAAAGGCUAAGACAAGAAUAAAGAGAGAGAAAGAUUACAUACAUAAAGAUUGCGGCUCAUCGCAGCAAACAAACAAGUCUCAUUUGGAAGCGCUAACUUUCCCAGAUUCAGAUUCUUCAUAUAAACUUUCCUAGCAAGGGGUGGUUAACUUAAUGUUCUCUUUUAACUGUUUAAGCAAUUCAUGGAACAAGUUCCUUAUUUACAUGAUUGAGAUUCAUCAAGUAAAUUCCCAUAAUCACUAUCAUUUGGAUUCAAGCUGAUUUGGUAUAUUAUUACAUAUAUAUUGUAUACCACCGGCCACUUGGCUUGAUCAGUCCCAUCACCAUCUUCAGUAAAGAAUUUCAUACAUCCAAAUUAACAUGUCAAUUUGUAUAUAUAUGAUUCCAGAUUAUAAGACAAAAAUGCCUGAUACAUCCUGAAGCAUCUAUUGAAACCACAAUUAGAUCAGCAUAUGCUAUUCUAAUUGCAUCAGCAUAAUUGGAAACAUCAACAAUUCGUUGAACUCCUGCAACUAGAAAAUGCCAAGAAGGCAUUUGGAUAUAUACAGAUUCCAAAUUCCAAACAGAAAAGGAAAUAUGAUUAGCAGCCAAAUUACUGAAAUUAGGAUGAGACCGAAAGUCCAUAUAAAAUAAUAACAAGCAACUAAUUAAUCUGUAAGUUACCCCAAAGGGGAAGAGCAAGCGAAAAUGACCCAUUUUCACUAGAAUUUAAGAUACAAAAAAGAGUAUUAUUCAUAGUUUAAUCCAUGACUUUACUAUGUGAUAUAAUCCAUAGCAAAUAUAUAUAGUUGGAUGAGAAUCUCUCCUUUAUUCGUGUUUACAAAAACAAAGUGGUAUAGCUAGCUAGCUAAUUAGAUAAACUAACUAGGUUAUGCUUUGCAUUACUUAUAUACUAAUACGACUAACUUUCCACGCAUGGAUAUAUAAAUGUAUUGCAAAGCUGUAUGAAUGUGAGAAGUAGAAUUUGCCAGAAAGAUAGAGAAGCAUGUAAAAGAAAUUCCACUUACUAAAGAAACUAAGCAACUUAGUUACAAUAAACUUUGUUGGAAUCUCCGAUCGAACAUGUUUGAUAUAGAAAACCACCAAAAGAGUACUUGGAUUAUGUAUUGGAUAGCUGGUUGUACAAUUUGAAUGAAAGGACAAUUGAACAAACAGUGAUGAUGUUCUAUUAAACUAGUUGAUUAAUAGGUCUUUUCGUCUAUCAGAAUGCUAAUUAGUCUUCUUGGCUUAUGUUGUGUCAUUUGUGGGAGACUUCAUUAAGGUUAUAAGUGGGUAUAGAUGUUAUGAGGUAAAUGCCAAGACAGAGAGUUGGGUUGUUUGCAACUCUGGAUUGAUGUUUGUCCUUGUGUUCAUCAGCUGAUAUAGAAAGAAGGUACAAAACUAUGAGGACACCAAAUAGGACGGGAUUUUAAGAUCUGAAAUUAGUGUAAAACACAUGCAUAUGGUUAGAGCCGAUGAUCCCAAAAUUUAAGUUGUACUCACGGCCACUUUAUAGGGGGAAGAGAGACAUAACUAAAAAAUAAAAGAGUCGAACUCAAAUCUCUGCACGACUAAAUAUAUGAAUGUAUUAUUGGACGCGACAUACUAUUAGUAUAAUUUAAACAAUACCAACAUUUAUCAAUGAAACACAUGUAUCAUGUAUUACAUAUGAUCAUCCCCAAACAGAUUAUUAAUUCUACUUGACCAAACAUUACCAAGUUAGGUGAUUGUAUUGAUUCUCUAGCUACAUUGUUAAACCUCUCCACUCCUUUAUAAGUGCAAGUUGUAUCACUUGUAUGCCAUAUAUAUAUAUAUAUAUAUAUAUAUAUAUAUAAUUCGUGCAUCUUUAACUGUCGCACCAACUCAUCAAUGGUAUGUUACACUCAUGAAUCAUGACAUUCUGCAGAGGAUACAUGUUUUAUUUUCUCCACUGACGAAAUGGCAUCGUGAAAGUUGUCAUUGUGGAACAAGUCCUAGGAUAAUAGCCGAUUGUCAACGAAAGAUCUUCUAUAUAUGUUUUAGGUGGAUUCACAUGCACAUGAAAUAUUGAAAACGAAAGCUGAGGAGGAAGCAUGAGAGUUGCCAUUUUCAAGUCGUAUCAGCCAUUUUUGUAAUGCCUUGAGAAAUGUUCAAAAUCAUAGGCACAUUGGUAGCUCCCAUUACCAUCAGCUAGGUCAAAGAUAGAAAACCCAGAACCAUUUUUCUAUAACCAAUGCAUGCAUGACUGACUUUCUCUGAGCACCACUAUCAGCUUUUUGAGCCCCUAAAGAACCAUGAACUAUAAUAUUUAAGGUAUCAUCUCCAUCAGAGCUAGCACACAGAGAACAAACAAGUCUGUGUAAAGCAGAGCCAAUUAAGCUCAGUGAUAAACUAAACAAAGGGCAUGUGGUUAAGUAUGAUUCUCAGGCUGCAGAUUCAUAUGGUGCUAUAAAACAAGGCCAGCCAGCUAUGGUGGAACUGUGCGUUUUAACCGGCGUAGUUGAAGGUAGGCGAGGCAGGGGUUUUAGUAGUAAACAAUCAACCAGCUGCCAAAGACACUGUAUAGUUAACCUUUGGACCACCAUGAUCAUAUACACUUCACCUUCCUAUAGUUGGUAGGAGAGGUUGUUCCCAACUUCCUAAGUUAAACUAUACGUACCUUUCUUAUUUAUUGUGAGAAUGACCUAUCAAUUCAAAUGCUGGAGGAUUAAACAUAGUUAUAAAUAAUUUAACCUACCAAAAUGUGGUACAUGAACACUGGUGAAUUUUGAUGACGAAGUCUUGAAGGCAUCAUCUAUUGUUUCCUUUGGAUUGUGAUCUCUCGAGCUCAAGAUAUUUAUAGAAUCGUACUUACGAUAUCAUGGAUGAUCUAGAUAAAUUAUGACACUGUUAAGCUAAAUACAUGAUAAAAUCUGAGAUUUUAAGUGAGUCGAUUCUUUAAACUUUAUGAGAAAAAUAAUCGAUGUUAGCUUAGAACAAGGAUUUGAGAAGGAAUUUUAAGGGGAAACUUGAACCGAAAGUAUGAUUAGUUUAACCGAAGUCUUAAUUAAAGAAAGCAAAUUAGAGGGCAAAUGGAGACAAAGCUGCAACUAUAGAAAUUGUUCGACUAAUUGUCGGGAGUAGUGGUGUUUUGCCUUUGGACACAUAAACCACAUUAUUAGCCGCUCUUUUAUUAGACAAAACCAAUUUCAAUUAGUUUAAUUAUCCAUUUCGUUUCUUUUUAUCUUAUCCUUUUGCGUGCUUUUGACUAGUUUCAAAUCCAAUUUGUCCCAGUUGAUAUAUAAAUAUAACUCCCUAAUUUGUUGGCUAUCCCAUCCAGUCGCUAUUGGACCCAAACCUACAUGAACCUAUUAUUCAAAUUUGAAUUAUCAUGCACUAAAAUAAUAAUCACAUUCUUAGAUUUUGCUCAUACACAAUAUAAAACUACCCAUGUUGUCGGUUCAACAAGCAAGUGUCGAUUGUGUUGUAGGAUCUAUAAUGAUCUUCAUUGAAAGAUAUUGGUGGAAGUUAGUAUGGAUGAUAUACUGUUUAAGCGAAGAAUAAGAUCAUCGAGGAAAAUGUACACCAUGAAUAGUUACACAUAAUAGUCGAUGAUGCAUGUAACUGAUUUGAUACUUCACUAGUUAAUUCACUUGAUUUACAAAAGAUUUGUGUUGAACGACAUCUAUCGAAACUCAACUUAAUGAUUAUUUGUGAUUAUUGUUAUGCCGGUAAUCUUUUAAAUUUAACAUGUCAAAAAUACUUGAGACCAGAUUAUCACGGCCUUACGAGUUUGUUUCAUUUCAUCUUGAACUACCCUAUAAUUCUUAGUCGUUUUCAUACUUCGAUCUACUCUUUUAUGUUUGUUUGUCAAACAAGUAAUUUGAAACCAUGAUAUGCCCAUGUUCUCUUCGCUAUGUCCCAAGCUGAUUUGACACCAAGAACAUGUCUUGGGGAACAUGGUUUCUCUAAACAAACCGCUUGAGGAAAACUGGGAUUCAAAAAUUGAGUCAAACAAAUUACCAACUCCUUAUUUAAUCUCUGAUCUUCUUGCCCUACAAAUCUUGAUGAUUUUCUUGCUUGACAAGAAUAGAACUUUUUCACCAUCUUCAUAUGACAUUUUCACACAGAGCUUAUGGGUCCUGGUGCUGUCAUUUAUAUACUAAUUAAGGGGGAUUAGAUUCUUCCCCAUUCCACACAAAGUAAAAACCUUCUGGAUUGGACACAAAGAAAGUAGGAACAUUCAAUUAAAAAAUAUCAAGUCAACCAUUAAUACUGAUAAUAAUGCCUUAAACAAGAGAGUUGCUAUAUGUACAAAUCUAGCUGUGGUGCUUAAACUCCUAUUUCUCUUUUACCUAACAUUCUCUUCUUUUCCUUCCAGCAAUAAACCAAUAAUUCACUACCAGUCUACCACCCAACUCCUCUUUUUUACAUUCCCAUCUGUUCUUUCCCUCUACUAAGUUUCAAACAUAAGCAUUUAAAAUGGAGUGGCCCUCCUCCAAUCUCUAUCAAAUUCCUCCAACCAAACCAAACCCACCUAUAACAGCAACUACUAUUACCAAAUUCCCACCUCCCUUCUUCCUUUUCUCUUUAUGUACAAUGCCAGAACCCCAAGCAAAGAAUAAUACACCAUCCAUUGCCACAUGCCAGCUAGUGAAUAAGCAAUUCUUCCACAACAUCCUCAAGAAAAAGACCUGAUGAGUCCCAAAUUGUACAGAUUCCUUCUCACUAAGCUCCCAAGUGAUAGCAACACUGUCCCACCAACCCCAACUGCCUGCUCUUCUCUUUCACCUUUGGAAUGGCAGAUCAAUGGCAGUUCCUUUACUUUCAAGUCACUUAACCCUACUCUCUGCCUCACUGCAUCGAUGGUUUCUCGAUCAGCAGGGUUUCCAAUUGCAUCGGUGACAUAGAAAACGUUCUGAGCCUUGUCUGUCGAGGUGGAGAUCUCGGCCCUUGUCACAUUGAGACCGGCCUCUCGGAAUGUUCUAGUGACUUUUGCUAGAAGACCAGGUCUAUCCUCAGUGCACAAUUCAAGUCUCACACCCUGAAAUGACAUAUCCCAAGUAGGAAUUAGCACAAUGGACACUAAAACCAAAUGAAAUAACCAAAACCAUUUAGAUUGAAGUGAGCAAUACCUCAGAUGCUCUUCUUUCAAUGGCAGCUUGCAAGCAUUGGAUUACACGAUGUCGUUCCGGUUCAGAACUAAUUGGGGUCCCAUCAGUAUGCCUAAUGUAAAAUUCCUGAAACAAAAUUCAACCACAAACUCAAGUUAGUUAUUCGACUCAACAACAAACUUUAAAAGUUUAAAAUUUAAAAUUUAAAAUCGGAGCACAAACAUAAACCAACUACAAGGAAAUGAAUCUAUACCAUGUGUGCUCUAUCCCCUGCUGUUUUAAUAGUGGCAUGAAAAACCACAUAGUCCAUAUCUGUCAUUGUGCAAACAACAUCAAACAAAAGCUUUGCCCGGUCCUUGCACUGAAUGUUCACUACAGAAUAACUCCUUUCAGCCCAAUUCUGCACUGUUACGAUUGGAGAAUCAGUGCAAAGCUGCAGGAUGGGCUUCCUCUCGUAAUCGCGAUCUGCAAACAUCAUUUGAUGGAGUCUUCUUUCUGUGUGUGUGACAGCCAUGGAAACUGAAGUUUUGGCACUCCGAAUAUCAUUGUCUCCCUUGAGAACAGUCCUCAACCGCGCUUCAAUUGUAUCAAUUUUCUGCGAGUCUUCAAUUGGACAACCCGAACCACAGUCCUUGACAUAAAUCAGUGAAGCAAUUCUGCCAUUGUGUGUCCAGACCUUAGACUCAACCACAUUGCAUUGCAGCUCGGCCAGCACUGCAAAUACCUCAGAAAGAAGACCAACACGGUCCGUUCCUGUCAGCUCCAGGGCUGUCAGGCCGUUAGAGCAGCUGGAGGUCCCAAAGUGAAUUGUUCCAAGUGACUGUCGAACACAAGUAAUUAAGUAUCAGUUUCAAUUCUAGACAAAUCUAAUUGUAAAUUUGUGUAGUAAAAAUUGAGAUCAAUAGUGCAUUAAAUGAUUCAGUUACCUGCUCAAUAUAGUUGAUAACGCUCUCGUCCGUUAAUUUGUUCCCGUUUUGAUCAGUAACAUGAAAAACUGUACCAAAACAUGAACCAAUUUAAGAUGAACAUUCAAGAAAUAUACACCCUUUUAAGAAAUUAAUUAAAAAUAUUAAAGUUACAAAAUUUCUUACCAUCCAUGAACCACCGUCCAUCAGAAGAAAUAUAAGCCUUUUUAAUGGUGAGGUUUAGGUCCGUGAGGACCUGAACAGCUUCGAGAAGAAUUCCAUGCCUUCUAGCACUAUCGACCUGCACAACGAAACAGAGACUUGAUUAGUCAAUAAUUUCGACAGAAUCAAACCUUGUUUUUUGGUUUCCAAAUUGGAGUUUGAAGAAGCAAACCUUGACUAAAGUCGCAUUGGAGCAGACGGCAUUGUCAAUCACGACCCUGUAAUGUAAAACCAACCAAACGGUCAAGUCAGAUAAACACCACCACCGCCACCGUCACGAAAAGUCAGAAAUUUUGAAGUUUUGAACACGAGAUUUCGGAUAUUAAUUAAAAUUUAAAAUAAAUUUAAGUCAGUGAAAUAAUAUUACUUGCUGUGAAGGAAAGUAAUCAGAGAAGAGAUCUGAGUCUCUGGAGAAGAAAGUUCCAGAUUUCUAGGAGUAAAAACAGCACCGAACCAAGAAAAUCCGGAAAAUCUCUCAGAAAGUGAGACCCGAAAAAACCGAACAGAAAAAGAGAUGAGGAUGUGAAUAAACAGGGAACAAGGGAACAAGGUAUGUAUGUACCUAGGAGUGUUCAUCCGGAAAACGAGUUUCUCAUACUCAUCAAGACAAGCAGCCCACUCCAUCCUUGAAUUCUAAGCAGAGCAGAGACGAACGACGACGUUUAAUAAACCAACAGAAACGAAAAAGCUCUCUGGGGCUUUAACAAGAAACGAAGAAGCUCUCUGGGGCUUUAACAAUCUCUAAAAAGCGACGAGACAAUCUAAGAAGAAAGAGGAAACUUCGCCGCCGUAUCAAACAAAGCCAGCAAUGCCACAGAAGAGAGAGAUGCCUCCACACACUCUCGGCGUCUUAGAUCAAAUCGCCACCAACACCAACACCAACCUUCUUCUCUGUCUCUCUCUCAAGAAAAUAGUUACUGUUACUUUCUCUCUCUCUCUCUCUCUCUCUCAGUUUCAAAAGCGCAAAGCACGCUUGUUUCUUAACACACUGAGGUGUUGUUGCCUCUUUGCCCAUCUGGGUGAUCUGCCUUAUAUAUAUUUCAUUAUUUCCUUUAUUGUUUUUACAAAACUUUAAGUAAUAAAGAUAUUUUAAUAUUUUAUUCGAUUUUUUAUAUUUCUUUCCUAACCACGCCCUUACGCAAAGAUUAAGGGGCGGGUAAUUCUUACUACUCACUACUAAUCACAUGCUGCCCGAUAACCCUGCCCCCCUCUGACCAACUCUCUCUCUCUCACUCCCUAACCUCCCCACUCAAAAAGUCAACCAAUUACGCAUACACAUGGCGCUUGAUCCCCUCAUUUGUUAGUGGUUCGUCACUUCAUUACCACCAGCUCAGACGCCACGUGUUCCUCUCCAAACCUGCCUUUGCGUAUUUUCAACUCAAAUUACAAAACAAGAGCACGUAGAUCAUCGUUGGGUCCAACAUGGCUUCGAAACUAAGGGUCGGAUUUGCCGACCGGAAUUAUCACCGGCUUUGUUUCGGCUUUUCCUCUGUCUGUGUUUUGGGCCGGUUUUUGCUUUGUAUCUUUGCCGUCAUUUUUAGUAAUUAAAUCUUGGUUUAGAUAUCGAAUGUUCGGACCAUUAGAUACUGUAAUCAAGUUGAACUGAUGACGGAGUCCGUUAUGUCGGGUAACGAUCCUAAGAUGCUCCGUUUCAGUCAAUACGGUGAUGAGAUGGCGGGUUGUGAUUGGCGAGACGUCGCACAACGUGCGGGCAUGAUUUAAGACGUAGGCGUUGGACGAGCUGUUUGAAAAUGUCUAAUAAGUCGACACGUGUCGAGCUCAGGGAGAGCUUACCAACUAUAUAGUAAAUUCUCUUCCCACAGCUCAGUCGGGGGCCCACCCGCCCGUCUUAGGUAAGGUAAGGUCCUUCCUUGUCUGACAAUCACGUGCGUGCUCCUCAGAAAACACGUUCCCCGCUUUGGCUGACGUCCCGUCGCACCGAGUUAAGGGUACCUACCCGACAAACAUAAACGGUAACGUCGGGCCGUUAAAUUUGAAACGGCGCCACGUCCCCGCUAGGGGAUACGAAACGUCGUCGGUUUAGACGCUCCGCAACAGGUGUGUGGUGUAGAGGGGGCGGCAGUUAUGUGGGUCACUCGAAACGCGCCGCUUCAUUUACAAAACCGAUGGCGGGAAACACCACCGCAUUUCGCGCCAAAAAUAGGGUCGGGGGGGGCCGUAGCGGUUGGCGCAGGGACCACGUCACGGGGAAGAAAAGAUCCCACUAUUGGGUAAGAAAAUAAGGGCCCCGUAGUAACUUCCUUUGCUUCAAAGAGCAGUGGCCUUUUGCAGAUGGACAUGUACGAGGACCAGAGGCUACACGCCAUUGACAGCUAACACUGUCUGGGUAAAAAUAUCUUCUUUUGAAGCUACGUGUCUGGGAAUUCCCGCCAUUUUUUUGGCUGGGUCGGAGUGUGAACUUUUUGACCGGUAAUUCUCCGGCGCCGAAAUCGAGAGGCACGUUCAGGGCGCCGCGGAUGGCUCCGUGAGACAGUGAAUGCAUGUUUUGAGUUCAACGUGGUCGGACAUGACAUGACGGAGACUACAGGAUUGUUAAUUAGUGAUUAAACUUUGAUAUAUCUUGGUUUUUAUUUGUUAAUUAAACUGCAUGAACCUGGAUGUGUUUUACCACUUUUGCAGAGUAUAUGCAUGCGCUUGACCUAAGAAGAAGGCAUGCAUUUUGCCUCCACGUCUUUUAAUGACUUAGUUCAAAGGUCUUAGGUUGGUUAGACGAAGAAGAUCAUGGCCGCUAAAUCUGGCUUUGCAGGCUUUGCAGGUUGGACUGUUGAGCCAUCAUGCAUGCAUUGGUCGAGUUCGAUAUGAAAGGUAAACUACGUAGUAACUUGUGACAUGUGAGUUGAACUUGGCAAUAACUCACUUUAGUCUUUCAUUGACAGUAAAAUAUGAACCAACAGUCCAACACCAAUCACUAGUUCUAAACUUACCUCUCUUUUUUCUGAACGCACUGUGAACUUACUUUAUGCCGGGUAAUUUUUACAAAGAUUUAUAUGUGUUAUAGAGAUUAUAACCGCGUGUUGAUGUAUCUACGAGAUAUCAUAGGCGGAGUUACAAUCAGACCAAAGGGUGCCAUGACACCCUAUGGUUUCUUCAAUUAGCUUUACUGUUUAGUUUAUUUAUUUACUGUUUAGUUUAUUUAUCAACUUUCAUGAAGAAGUUCCAUACUAAUUCUUUAUAUGGCCCCCUUUAAUAUGCGUUCCUAACUCCGCCAUUGCGAGAUAUCAAUAACCAUUUGGUAAUUUGUAUGGUGCCAUGUUUGUAAGAGACUUUUUUUUUGUCUGAUUUCUAAGAGACUUCAAUAUCAGCAAUUAUAAGUCUUAGUUUCUUGUGACCCUUUGCUUCAAGUAGUUCACAGAUCGAAUUUGCCAGCUGGGAAAGUGAAGGUUAGGGGAAAGGACAUUUUCAGAAGUUGGAGAAUAUGAAAACCAUUGAUACUAAUGUCACAUUAGGAGAUUGUAACUUUGAUCAUACAAAUUAUAAGAUUGCGACUACACCUUCCCCACUCGAAUAAGUGAUUAGUUUGACAACUUUAGUGUAGCCAUUGAGGGUCUUUUGGCUCCCCUUAGGAAGACAUAUGUACCCAAUAGCACCUUUCAAUUCUGUCACAAUUUAUUCACAAUUUUAAUCCAUCUUCUUGUUUAUGUGCUCAGCGUACAUUCUAAUCAUUAUAAAUUGUAUAUUUUCUUCAGCAACUAGAAAAUAACCAAGGCUGGAAUUCUUCUUAUAUAUUGAAAACAGAAAACAUGGAAUUAUGAUAAGGAGCUGUUGGAGAUCGAAGGCGUUGAUCGAUCACAUCAAUGGAAGCUUUGAUGGUUGUUCAACUUUUUUUUUUUUUUUUUUUUUCUUCUUUGUUAAAUUUUUUUUUUUAAAUCAGAUGGUUGUUCAACUUUUGGUUGGGGAAUAUUGUAGACAACCUUACAUAUUGAUACAUGUUAUGAAUCAUUUUUCCAUUCAUAUGUCAUAAAGCCUUAAAAUCCAGAUAUAGAAGUCAUUAAUUUAAUUUCCACUUGGUAGGUUUCUUCUUCUUCUUCUUCUUCUUCUUCUUCUGUUUUUGGUAAGUUCUCUUUGUUGAACAAAAAUUACGUCAUGAGUGAUCACACAUGGUAUUCGACGGUGAUUCUAAAAAUCCAUAACGACGAUUUUGAUUGGAAUGUUGACUUAAAUAUCUUUGUCAUGUCAAGGAUUUCAUUGAGUCUUGGAACGGCUAGCAAUUGGUAAUUGAAAGUCUGGAAGACUGGAACUGUUAAUCAGAAAUUAACAUAAAUUCUUAGAUAGGGCAAAUGCAGAAGACGAGCUUUCGACACAAUUGAGGAUCUUCAUGUGUAUAUAUAUACAUGCUAAUCUCAUAAAUAAGUUAUUUAACCUAGGAUUUGGGAUCUAAAGACUAAUGAUUCACAAGCUAAAGACUAACAUGAUUGUUUACAUUUCCUUAAUAUAUCCUUUUCCUUCGGGUAAACCCAUCGGUGCCGGCCAGCAGCAUCAUCAGUUGCAUAAAUCUCAAGGCUAGCUUCAACGGGCGGCCAGGAACACCUUCAUACCCUACUUGUCGAAUUUUACAUAACGAAAUUAUGGUAGAGGCUCCACUCACGAGAUUUCUUAGGUGCUACACAUUUUGCUAGAGAGAUUUACAUGCCCCCACCUCACUUGCAGAAUAUCUCUAUCUUCUUCUUCUCUGAUCGAACUGUACCACCAUACCCAAGUUCAUUCCCAAAAUUCCAGUUUGACUGUUCUGCAGCUACAUAGAAUCUCACAUUCUUUGCUAACUCUGCUGGUCUUUCUUUCCCUCUCCCUUGAUUUGCUGCACCAAUUAUUCAACAGAACCAGACCACCCCUUUGUCUCUAUAUAUAACAAAAUGGUGGCCUAAUCUUGGUGGCGUGGGUCCGAAAUUUGAAGACUUUCUCAGGGUAGCUGCUACUGUGCUGGUCUCAAAUGGUGGCAAGGUGACCCUUCUUGUUUAAAUCUCACAUGGGAUUUCGGUUGCCAUUGUCGACCGGAAGCCUAGCUAGGGUUAAAGCCUUAAAGGUAUUCCAAACGCACAGUGACACUCUGAUAUAUAUAAUCACUGGCUUGCUGCCUAUUCGCAUGACAUUGCCAAUGAGUCGGCCCUGCUUUUUCACGACAGUAUGCUUCCAUAAUUGGUGGCCAAACUGGAAGAACGACCUUUCUCACCGCCUGAAAAAUAAUUACCGCUAUAUGCGUUUUCACUUUUUACAGAUCAUAAAUAUGUGUAUGAUCAGAGACAUAAUCAAUGUAAUGGGCAUGAAGGACAUGUUCCAGCGAAGAUCUAACAGCGUUGUGGGUUUGAUGAUGGAGAUGUGUGUAUAUUGAUGGCGCCACAGGGACAAGGUGAUCGAACAGAGACUUAUGUUGGGUGGCGGAUUUAUUGUAUAGGUUGGUCGAUCAUUGUGGUAUAAUGAUAUAUAUGAAGCAUGCGAAAGCGAGCGCAUAUGUGUGUUUGCAGGGGUCUGGCUCAGUCACCUUCCUCAUUGAUCACGCUUCACAUGUUCUAUGCUUUGUCAAGCACAAGUUCAAUAACUAGAUCCAUCUGUCGAGUGCAGACGAUGAGUUGCGGAAUUAAGGACAUUCGUAGGAAAGCUUUUGCAGUCUUCAGAACCUCGAUAUGAGUAGUCUAAGUCCACAGCAAAACCUCUCAGUACUAUCAGGUUGUAAGAACUCCAACACUUUAGAGAUUGAAUGUGUAAUUUGCUAAAUAAGUAUAAUUACAAAAUAUUUUGUAGCUAUAGGCAAAGAUGUAUUUGACAUGUUCUUUUUUGAAUCUUUUGUGGUAAUUGGGCAGCUUGAAAUAUUUUCCUACGUGAGAACAUGCUGGAUUGAAUGUGCUAAUUGAGAUCUUUGUAUCUAUACAAUGUUUUUUAAAAAAAAAAUUUAUUAAUAACACACACCAUACAUAUGUCGUGAGGUUUGAACUUAUGACCUUAAAGUUGUUAGUAAACACCUUAACUUACCAAAUCACAAUAUCGUAUCAAUAUAAAGCAUGAUCGAUCAACAAAAGAUCAGUCAAUAAGUCUUACAGUUUAGAUAAAAAUCUCAGAAUCGACCAUUAAUCUCUAGCAUUUGAAGAAGAUUAUAUGCUUUGAGGGAUCUUUGAUCGACCUGAAGACCGAUGAGCACAUAUUAUUAGUCGUCGAUAUUGGGUUUAAUUCAUCUUUAUUCUUGAGAUUGCUCGAGUCCAGACAUCCAGUGAAGACAAUGUCAUCACUCAUUAGGAGGCGUCUAGAAUUGAUCACAAAGAGUGAGUAUUGGUUGUUGUCUCUUUUUGACGUAUUGGUGCAAUUGGGUUUGAGGCCCAACUGAUUCACUCAUAUCAUGCAUCUGAGCAGUUGGUUUCCAGGCCCAAGCUCUGAAAAAAUCCAACCAUUUUUAAUUUAAAAGCACUACGGUAAUUUUGAUUUCAACUCCGUAAAAGAUGGGCUCAUUAUCGUUUUACUAUUGGUUUUCGCAUUUGGUUUAACCUUUCCUCACCAACAUAUCCACAUUCCAGAACACUUCGACUCUUCCAAACAUGGCCGCUCACUCCUUCUCCAAGCUUCCCACUUUCGUAUCAGCCCUCAAUCCCAAUCAAACAACCAAACCGGAGUCUUAUUCUCUACCUCUGACCACGACUUUGAGCCCCGCAAGUCUUCAGAAACUAUGGCUCGGAACAACCAGUGUCGGAGUCAAAGCCCGACUGCCAAAGCUCCGAUCUUUCUCUUCCACGAUCUGCUUCAGCCUCCCGACAGCGUAAGCAAACCCAAUUCUGUCUUUGUUGCCAGAACCGUUUCUCUUGAUUUGUUUGUUUCGUUUCACGUUUUAGAUGACGAGCUGUUGUUUCAGAUGCUUCUGAUUUUAUCGUUACAGAGUCAAGGAAAGAGUUUCGUCCAAUGACGAAGUGCCCAAGUGAGUGUCUUCUGUUGAACUUUGUUUAUUGGGUUUGAUGUUUGAGUUUGGUGGGAUUGAUGUUUUGGUAUUGGUUGGUUUGAUGCAGAUGGUCUAGCAGGGCUAUAAAGUCAUUUGCCAUGGGGGAAUUGGAAGCCAGGAAGCUCAAGUACCCAACUACUGGGACUGAAGCCAUUCUCAUGGGUAUCCUCAUUGAGGGUAAAUGUUACAUAUCUUUUAUGCUUUUAUUGUUCAUUACUGAAAUGGUUAGUUGUUAGAAGUUAAAUACAUCUGAAUGAAUGAAUGUGUGUUCAUGUGAAUUAUGAAGUUGAAGCUUGUAGAAAAAGAGGGUAUGCUAUGGAAUCAGUUGUGAAUUACGGGUCUUUGGUGUAGUGUAGUGCAUAAUUGAUGAAUGCACAUUCUGCUGUUUUCUUAGCCAUAUUUGCAUUGGGCUGCAGGAACCACUUUGGCUUCGAAAUUUUUGCGGUCAAACGGAGUUACACUUUUCAAGGUGCGUGAAGAAACCGUUAAGUUACUUGGGAAAGCUGAUAUGUGGUUUUUCAGUCCUGAGCAUCCUGCAUUGACUGACGAAGCUCAAAGAGUACUGGACUGGGCUUUUGAUAAGAAAAUAAAAUCUGGUAUGUUUCUGUUCUGUUUCAUUUGCAUACAAAUUUCUCGUACGGAAGUUUUUUUAUUCACCUUUUCUUUUUUGAAUUCUAAAUAGUUCCUAUUCAUUUAAACAUCAUAAGCUUCCUUCACCUUGUAUAAAUAAUAUCCAGGGUCAUGUCAAUUCAUUUCUGAUCAGGUAUUUAAGAAUUUUGUAUUCUCAUGAGUUUUCUAAGAGUUCAGAUAUUUGGGUUUGGUGUUUUAAUAAAAGGUUUUUCUUCACUGUUUUGUCAUCCAGUUAAAAUUGGUAUUGUUGUACAACCAUGGGAAUUAUGGAACUGGUAUUUGCAUAGAGUGGCAUUUGAUUGCCAUUACGUUUAAGUUUGCGAUUACAAAAUCCUUCAUGUAGAGAUUGGGUCGUUGUAAUCUGAGCUGCAUCAGAUGCAAGAACAGUUUGUGUGUUCUUGAACUGACCUAGUUCCUUUCCCCUCGUUAUUUAAGAGAUAGUUUCCUUUUCUACGACAAUGCUGAAUUUUUAUCUUCCAUUGCCAUCUUAAAACUGAAUGCAAAGACAAAUCUUGGUGGAGCUCCAAAUGCCAUAUUUUUCUUCUGAAGGAAAUUUGAUAUAAUUAUUUCCUAAAUGAUCAAAAACACUUAUUUUCUUAAUUCUACUGUGGUUCUUGAUUGCAAGACAACUAAACUAUAUGGAAGGAGAAUCGUGUUUCUGUUGUGCAAUAUACCCUACUUGUUGAAAUUGCGGGACUGAGCACAUGGUCUAUUUUUUUUUUUUUUAACAAAGUCAUAAUUAUCAACUCCUUUUGCACUAAGUUUAAUUCUUACCUUUUGAUUUAUUGAUACCAGGCGGCAGUGGCGAAAUUACAACAUCUCAUCUGCUUCUUGGCAUUUGGUAUGAAGUUGAUUCACCGGGCCAGAAGAUGAUGGCCACCCUUGGCUUCAAUGAAGAGAAAGCGAAAGAGCUGGAGUCUUUAAUUUCUGAACCUGGAUUCAUCGAUGGAUGAUAUCUUCCUUUUUGUUUGUUGUGACCUGUGAUGCGAAAUUGUUAACCAAUACAUAUGGAUAAUUGAUGUUAGUUGGAGUUGUUUAAUGGCAUUUGUUGUUCGUGAAUGAUGGUUAACACCUGAGUCUGGAUUGGUUGAUUCUGGAUGUGAAGUGACUAUGUUUAAAGAUUUAGCACUUUUCCUCGCACAACUAUUGUAGAUCAGAUGCCAAAGGAAGUAUGAAUACAGUUUGUUCACUUGGGGAGAGAAAAGAAGAAUUCAUAUGCGCACAGAUCAAUCAAUAUUUGCGCAGCGUGCGCUUCAUAUACGGUCAUAGGAUAGGUUUAAGCAACAAAUUAACUUAGAAUAUCUAGCUAGGCUUCGGGUUCCUCUUGCCCUCUUCAUGUUCCUCUUCGUAUAAUUGUCAUCUCCUUUACAUUAAUUAUAUGAAAACCGUAUUUAGAAAAGUCUCAUUCACAACAGAAUAAUAGAAGAAUGUAUCAAGUUGAUAGUUUCUUCUUUCUUCACCGCUUCUCUUCCCUCCUUCCUCCAUUGCUAAUUUUCUUCUGCUCAUUGUCUUCUUCCCUAAACCCUCCACCUUCCCUUUUCUUGAUCUGCUAUCAGGUUUCGCUUCCUUCAUAUUGGAACUGGAACUGGAACCAUCACGUUCGUUAGUUCUAGUACUCUUGGCUCUUCUCCUCGAUUCUCUCUCUCCAUUCUUAUCGGUGUUCUUUAGUAUGUCAUGCUCCAUAGCCACCUCGUCAGCAUUAUUCAAGGAUUCAACCACUGAUUCAUGUAUAUCUUCACUAACCUUUUCCAUCGUCUUUCUCCUUGCCAUCAUUGCUUCAAGAACAUCCAUCUCAUCAUCUUCCACUUCCACUUCCUCAUCAUCAACUUCACCUUCUUCAUUGAACUUCUCCCUUUGGCUAUCAUUAACACUCGCAUCUUCACUAUCACUUCCUCCAACCACUUCAUUCCUUUUUGCUUCCUUCAAAACCUCUUCUUCAUCAUGUUCUUCGUAAUUACACUCCUCCAACGAUAGCAACUCCAUCAACUUUGCAUACAAACGAAGAUGCUUCCUCGACUGCUCAUGAUUCCUGCACUGCUUCUCACUCCUAAACGCCUUCCUACAAACCACACACUCCCAUUCCUGUCUCUCUUUUUUCUCCUCCCUCUCCAACUCAUUACUAUAUUUUGGUUUUCUCUCGACCGGUUUUGUCCACUCCUGCUCCACAUACUCCAUAGCCUUGUCCAACUUCUCUUUCUUCAAUUGCUUCCUUCUUUCCGUCUCCUCCUCUAUCUCCCUCUUUCUCUCCUCCUCUCUCUUUUUCAUCAUCUGCAUGAUCCUCUUGUCAAGCCUUUUGGCAUUUUGUGCCAAACCUCGCACCUUAUUGUUGUACUCCUUCUUGGCUUUCUUCCUCGCCUUCAUGUUUACACGAGACCAAAAUUUACAUCCUUUUCGACCGGCCUUACUUAGAUCAAUCCCAUCAUGCGGAUCCUCCCAGCAGAAAUCCAUUAUCGAACCAAAGUUGAGCCAGUAGUUGUAAAAUUGAACAACCUCCGGGUAUGAGCUAUCGAGAUUGCCCAUCUCCGGAGGCUUAUUAACCGAAUUCCAGGGCAUCUUCUUCUUCUUUUGAUAAGCGCGUUCAUUGGCAUAAAUCCUUUGAAAAAGAUCAGAAUAGACCUUAUAGAAGCCACUGCCGGAGCUGGAGUAGCCCUUGAAGUCGACAUUGUCAAAGGGGAUUUCGAGGUCGGGGUUGAAAACUUCAGGAACAGCGUAGGUCUGCCGGUAGGCGUCGAAGGCUUCUCGCCUUAUGGGAUCCAUUAGGGUUUCGUAUGCUUCUCGGACUUGUAAAAAUUUGGCGGUAGCUUCGUCUUGGGACAAUCCGCAUUGGGAUGAUCUGCAUUUGUCCCAAUGGUAUAUAAGGAUUAGCUUCCUGUAAGCAGCCUUAAUUUGUUCACCUGAGCAGUUAGGUUCGAGGCCUAAGGUCUUGUAGUGGCAGACACGCUCUGUGCUCUUCACCAUUGUAGUUUAGUCGCUUGAACAAUAAUGGAUGCAUGGGUGUGCGUAUAGUAGGGUUUAUAUAGAGAAACAAGAACAUAAUUAUUCCCUAGUUCUAAUUGGAAAAGCGAAACAAGAACAUAAUUGUUCCCUAGUUCUAAUUGGAAAAGCAAACGUGAUGUCUACUUAACCAAUGUAACAGAUCUAGCUAGGGAAUCUAUUUAAACCUUUUAAAUUUGGGAAAUAAUAAAGAAAUAUUUUAGUUUGAACUCCUAAACUUUCUUACCUUCAAAAGAAUUUUUGAGGUCUAAAACUUCAACAUGAAAGAAAACGUUUAACAAAAUUGCGAGGGUAUAUAUUGAUAUAAGAAGGCUAUGUAUCUGUGUUUUGCUAUCAAACGUUUACCUACAUAGCCUUCUAUAUGAAUAUGGGAUGUGAGCUAUGAUAGCAAAUAUGACGCAGGGUAUAUAUUGAUAUGAGAAGGCAUGUAGUCUGCUUGUGUUUUGUGUUUUGUUUUACCAACACAAACUCAAAAAUUCAUAUGAGAAGGACUUGCAUUGCUGCUGAGAUAUGGCUUUCACUAAUUUUAUAUGUUUAUAUGUUUAUGCUGUCCAUUUCUUUUAGGGUAUUUUCAAUUUGAUUAUUGUUUUAAUUCAAUUGAUAUGUUUUUUAAUUCAAUAGAUAUGAUCAGUUAAGUUUUUUGUUAUGUAUCAGUGGAGGCUUUUUAAUUCAAUUGAUAUAAUCAGUUCAGUGGAGGCUUUGAAUCAAUUGGUAAAUGCAUGUGGCACCUAGCUGGUUUUGAAACAAGUUAGCUAAUCUGUAGAUGUAUCCGUUGUCCUUAGUUUCUGUUGCUGGUUUGCUGCUAUGUGUAUGAAUCAAGAUUGCUACACAAAGCUUUAAUCGAUUCAUAAAUACAUCUGAUACCUAGCAGCUUUUGUGUUGUGUGGGAAAGACAUGUCAAAAAAUAUGCUUGUAGUACAUCUGCUAUAUUGAUUAUUCCUUGCUUAUCUAUGUUAGAUGUGUGGUGAUGACAUGUCCAAAAUCUGUUUGCUGGCUGUGUUAGGGGAUCAAACUUGGGGGAGUUGCCGCCUUAACACUUGUUGGACAAGCUACCAUUUGCUAGAUGUACUGCUAGAUUAGCAUUCAUAUUUUUGUACUUUGAUAGCAUGUGGAAUGCUAACUUAGAGUUCAAUUUUCAUUGUUGUUUUAACUGGUGGACUUGUAAAUGUGUAAACUAUUUACUCUUAUUUUGGUUGUGGUGGCUUACUAAUCUAUGAACUUGUGGAUUUACUUCACUCUCUUAUUUCAUUGAAAAUCUCUUAUUUCAUUGCAAAUCUACUUCAAACCUUAUAAUUUUACAAUAAAAGAUUUUAUUGAAGUUUUAAAAUUUCUUAUUAUUGAAUAUUAGUUUGAUAAAACAAAAAAAAUAUUGUGAUAUUUAAAAUUAAUUUAAUCCAGUGCUGCAACAAACAUGAGAAUGAACUGUUGUGAUCAUUAUGCUCUUUAGUCUUAAGCGAUACCAAACAUGGGUCAUAUAUUAAUAUAGCAUAAGCUAAGCUCAGAGAGUCCAAACUAUUAUAGAAAUUAGUCAUGUGUAACAGACAUGUUGUAAAGUACUGAUAGUCUCCAUACCUUUAGUGAGAGGCUUGGGAUGUCUUCAUGAAUUAUGACUAUAUUAUCCAUCUUCGUGACUAAACUAAAGUGUCUAUAUCAUUCGUUGAAAAGUGAAAUGUCGACUCAAUUCACUCAUGCCAAUUACUAGAACAAAACCAAACUCUCACUUGAUAUCCAACAUAAAUUCAAAGGAAGACUAGAUCGGAAUCCAUCUUUUGUUUGUAGAGGUCCAAGUAUUUUACCAAAACAAAACAAAUAAUAGAUUUAAAAACACGUCAGCCUUGUAUUUGCUAUAAAUAUCACACUUGGUAGACCAGUGGGGUGUUAAAGACACCUAUUUUGGGGAAAGUUAAUAAUCCACCCCGUUUCUCUCUCUAUCUCAUCGAAAAAGCCCUUGAGAUGUCUGAGACCUCCCCCUUCUUCUUUUCUAGAUCCAGAAAGAACAUCUCUUAUCCUCCCUCUUCUUUUUCAGAUCGACGAAGCGCAUCUUCCUCUCUCUCGUUGUGUAUUCCCUUUUUUCGUUUUACAUCCUUAAGCCUUCAGGGUGUGUGGAUGCUUGUAUGAGAUCCGGAUUGAGACGCUAUGGAGAUAAGAGACAAGUGAAACCAUGGAAGAUGGGCCUCCUUCAUCUUUCGCAGCCUCCAGGUAAUUUAGAUUCAGAUUUUGCAUAUAAUUUUCACUUCAAUCAAUUUCUUUUGCCUGUUUUUUUUAUUCUGUUUGAGAAUCAGUGUAGUUCUAGACUUCUAGGCAUACUACCCAGCCCCUAUGUUCAUAUCUUUCUUACGAUCCAUGUGAUUGGGCCUGGCCCAAUUGAAAUCCGUACUACGUAUUUUGUUUUUUAAUUAUGGCUGUCUCUCCUUCUUCUUCUAUUUAAAGCGCGAACGAUCUCAAGAUUGCUGCAAUCUCUUGAGCGCUUUUCUCUAGUUUUUCUUAUCAUUUAUCUUUCUUUAGGCUUUUUCACUCUAUUCUCUCCUCCUCCAGUUGUCAUGGAAAACGGGGACGAAAACCCUCGAUUUAUCUAUAACCCAUACGCUGAUUCCUACGUACAGAACCUGAACUAUGUAGUUCAGGCCUCGGAACCAGAAAUGGUUCUGAAUCCGAGUGGCAGUCAUCCUCUGAUGAUCGCAAAUCCAUUCUUUUCUGUCUGUGAACAACAACAGACUGAAGAGACUGAAGAUGAUGAGCAUACCUUUCAUAGACAGCAUCCGCCUAGAGAGAGGAGAGGAGAUAGGCUUAAAGAGCCCAUGAAAGGGGGGAAGUCACUCCCCGAUCCUCCCAACAAGCCUAGGGGUUUGAAGGGGAGCGGGAGCAAGUGCUCCGAUAAUGUGGACUGGAGGAGGCACUCAGACCCUCACUACAAGGAGUGAUGGGCGAAGGAUGGGCGAAGGGGAGUUUGCUUUGCGUGUGGGAUAGGUUGCUGCCAUCGGUGUUGUUUUAUGUUUGUUGUUGUGUGUUGUUUUAUGUUUGUUGUUAUAUGUUUAUGUUAUUAUUUGUUGUUGUGUUUUUAUUAACUGUUUGUAAUAUUGUUUAUGUUUAUAAUGUAAAAUCUAUGUAAUGGUUGUAUUAAUUGAAAUUUUCUGUCCUAAAAUUUUUGUUUCCUCAACUAACAAUCGUUUAAAUGGUAUCUAUCGGUAGAAAGUUUCACCACAUUAGUAACCCAUUACUAAUUGCAAACACACACUCACGCUAUAAGCAAGUUAUUUACCUCAGGAAUUUAAAGAUUAAUGAUUCACAAGCAAAAAUCUAUCAUGAUUGUUUUGCUAAAAGGGUACAUAAAAAUGAUAACUUUGCUAAAAUGGUACACUAAAAUGAUAACUGCUCCAUAAUUUUCCAUUUUUAAAUUUUGACCAUGAACCAGGUUAGCAACUCAAAUUAGUAAAUUACCCUCUGAACAGUAACCUUAAAGCAUAACAAAUUCCAAUGAAAUCAUAAAUGGAGAUGAUAUAUGGGCUUCAGUUUCUUUGACUAGGGUGGUUGGGAACUAGGGUCUUUGGAAUUCUAAGUUAUUGUAGUAGAUGAUGCAGUUUCUUUGACAAAGGAAAUUUUUCUGGUUGGAUGGUUGUACUGGUUUAAUCUGUAGUCCAAAAUUAAGGUCAUUUUUUUGUCAAGAUGCCUGGGAAAUUGUUGGUUGGUUGAUUCAGUUAGUGUAAUUCACAUUUAACAAUUAUUUUUGGUAGGCAUAUGUACUGAUGCCAUUAUGGUAUUCCAAGACUGAAGGUGAUGAGGACAUCACAACCAAACCUUUCAAGGUUUAUGAGAGGAAAAAAUGGAAAAAGAGAGCACCUAAUCAUUCCCUUUCCAUAUGGUUUGAUUAAUUGCUCUCGAUCUGAUUUUCUCAGCUUGGAGGGAAAACCAAGCUGAUUCUAGAAGUCUCUGUUUGUGUCUUUUCUUAUGUCUUUCAGUUUAGAAGUUUUAAGGUCUUUUAUUAAGUCAUAAUUGCGUCAGUUUUAGAAGGGAGUCUUAUUCAGUCUUUAAUGCUUCAGUUUUAGAAGAAGGGAGUCUUAUUCAGUCUUUAAUGCUUCAGUUUUAGAAGAGUCUUUAAUGCUGCUAAUGAGAGCUAUCUGCUCAAGUAUAAAUAAAUGUAAGGGCCUUAUGCCCAGUUUUAGAGUGUUUCUGAGUUUUCCUGUGAUGGGAUUGGCGUGAAGCCUAGUUUUAGGGUGAGAAGCCUGGAUUUGGUGAGAAACCAGGGAGUGAUUCCCAUAUAAAAGUGUUUUGUGUGUGUUUAAAUCCCCAAGCUUUGAAGCUUGUUGAUCCUGGUAUCUAAGCAGUAGGUUUGCUGCAUCAGAAGGUCAAGAUGCCAUUGGACCCAUAAGAACCAAUAAUUUCCGCAAGCUUUUACCUUUCGUGGUUUCCAAUGACCUGCCAUAGAGGAGAAAUUAUUGGGAUGCCAUUGGACCCAUAAGCACCAAUAAUUUGGGAAGAAUGGGGUGGUGGGAAGUAAAGAUCUCACUUCAUUAAGUAAGAAAAUAGGGAAAGAAAAAGGGUCCCAAAGGUAACGUGUUGUUUUUGAUGUUUCAAGGUAAUUGCCUUUGCUUCAAAGAGUAGUGGGAUUUUAGAGACAUGUAUGUAAGGCUACAUGUUUGAGAAUGUCCUUUUCCCUAACAUUCACUAGCUUGUCUGUGAGUUGGCUGCUUAUGCAUGAUUACUACUUGUAAAUAAAAGUUUUUACAAUUUAGUUUGUGGCUAAUCAAUGCAUUUUUUUGUUACUUGAUUUAUGUGGUUAGUACUCUAAGGCGGUCUGGAUUUGGGGUUUUGGAAUUGGAAAGGUUGUUAUAAUGUUACUAUAAUUGCCAUGGAAGUUAAUUAUUCAGUGGAUUUCCAGGAAGAGUUGGGUGAGCUUGAAAUAACUUAAAAUGUUUCCACCAUAUGUUCGGAGUAUGUAGCAGUCAUGCUUAUCUUGUUAACACCUUCUGUUACUUAUAUAGAGUCAUGUCCUAACACGAGUGCUCUGAUAAGCUCGAUGAUGAUUGAUGGUCUGUUUUGUUGGUGUCCCUCAGAUUGCUACCCUACAUUGAAGGCAGGCCUGAUCCUCUAUUCCCAGUGUAAGUACCAAGUUCUAUAACCAAUCCUUUCACUUUGUAUUAAAGGUGUUGGUACAGUGUCUAAUGCACUAUCCUUGAUUGCAGAACAAAUGGGCCUAAAUGGCAUAUAUGUAUAUAUAAAGCCAUAUUUAUCAUGUUUAUGUCUGCUUUAUUUGAAUUUCAUUGUUCAGACAAUUUUCGUUCUCAAUGCUAGGUCUCAUAAGAAGAGGCUAGGGAUUCUGAGGAGCAAUGAACAUCGCCCCUUGUUCUGUUCUCAAUGCAGGUUUCGAGUAUCGGCUGAAGUUGGUUAAAGUUUAGGGUAGAAGCUUGCAACUUAGUCAUGAGCCAAACUUGGCCUGAUUGCAUACUUAUUUAAGCUCACAUUGAAAUUCUCACCAACUUGUAUCAACAUUUUAAGUUCAUGCAUAUACACUAUAUGCAUGCUUUAAUAUACCCCAAUUAGUCUUGGCCUCUUGGGAACUCAAGCCUUUCAGUGUACAGAUUUUAAUCGACUGAUUUUUUUUUUUUCUUUCUUUCUUUCUUUCUGUUGAUUGCCUUGGAUUCUACAUACUUCAUAUAUUGUUUUGACUCUAUCUAGAUUUAAACAGAUUCUAACAUAUUUUAAUAGAAAGAUUUGUUUGGAUUUUAACAAGAUUUGUUCUUGUAUAUCAUAAUUAUUAUGGGCUUUCAGGCCUGAAAAUCUUUUCUUCAAAAUUUACCAAUGAUAUGCCACAAGACUUCAAACACCACCGGAUUGAUAUUCAUAUUAACCGGUAAUGGUGGGAGAGUGGGAGGCGGGAAACACCACCGGUUGCGCGCCAAGAAAAUGGGGUCGUGAGCGGUGGGCGCAGGGCCCACGUUACGGGGAGAGAAAAGAACCCAUGUGGAUGGUAAAGGAAAAAGGGCCCAUGGUAAUUUCUCUUUGCUUCAUAGAGGAGUGGCCUUUUGCAGGGACAUGGUAGUAUGGUAGGACUAGAGGCUCAAUAAUUUCUUUCUUUUCUAACGUUGAGUUGAUAGGUAAAGAAAAAUGAAAACAAUAAGUGCCUCUAAAUGUAACGUCCUCUUUUUUUAUGUUUCAACUAUUUAAGCCAAGUAGCCGGCUCCCUCACAUGGAAAGAAGGAAGAGAAACUGAAACUACAAUAUCCUUUUUUCUGUUGAGUGUGAUGUUUUUGGCCAUUAUCCUAGUCUGAGAGUAAAUCCCAUGUACCCAAUUUCUCUGUGCCCAUUAUGUGUUAACAGCAAUACCCUUGGUAAAAAUAACAAAAUCUCAUCAGUAAUUCACAAAUAUGGAUCCAGAUCCAAUAUGGACAUGUUUGAUGAAGAACUAAACAUCAAGAAUUGAGUAUAUAUUGUUACUUCUCUAAAAAAAAAAAAAAUCUUAGAGUAUAGAUUCAUGUAUGGAAGCGUAGACGUUUGAUACAUGAUAGUAAUCAUUUUUCCAUUCAUAUUCUCUGUUGGACAUGUUGGUGCAAUUGGGUUUGAGGCCCAACUGAUUGAUCAUGCAAGCCAUCACUGAUCAUUCGUUGGGCAGUUGGGUUCCAGCCUUCCAGGCCCAAGCUCUGCCAGUGCCCUUCACUAUUGUUGUGAAUGUUGUCCAUAGGCAAAUUUUUGAUCGACGAUUUCAACAGUUUUAGAGCAAUCAAACAAGAUCAAGAUACAAAAUCAUAAAUGAUCAAAAUACUUUAAAAUCUUAAUUCUACUGUGGUUCUUGACUGCAAGACAAUUGAACUAUAUGGAAGAGGAUCGUGUUUCUAUUGCCCUACUUGUUGAAUUGCAGGAUUGAGCUCCCAGAACACAUAAUCAUCAUUUUUUUUUUUUUUACUAAAGUCAUAAUUAUCAACUCUUUUUGCACCAAGUUUAAUUCUUACCUUUUGAUUUAUUGAUAACAGGCGGUAGUGGCGAAAUUACAACAUCUCAUCUGCUUCUUGGCAUUUGGUAUGAAGUGGAUUCACCGGACCAGAAGAUAUUGGUCAGUUGGUCACCCUUGGCUUCAAUGAAGAGAAAGCCAAAGAGCUGGAGUCUUUAGUUUCUGAACCUGGAUUCAUCAAAAUCGUUAACCAUGCCAAUACAUGGAUAAUUGAUGUUAGUUGGAGUGUUUAAUGGCAUUUGUUGUUCGUGUAUGAUGGUUAACACCUGAUUCUGGAUGUGAAAUGACUCCUAUCUUUAAAGAUUUUAACACUUUUCCUCGCACAACUAGUAGAUCAGAUGCCAAAGGAAGUAUGAAUACAGUAAACCAAUCAUACACUUCACAUAUUUUGGAGGUUAUAAAACAACUUACUUUGAACACAUGAUAAGAGUUUACAAGAUCAAAGCACAACAACAACAGCAGCAACAACUGAUUACAACAACAACAACUGAUUACGAGGAUAACUCAUAAAUCAUAAUCUCAGAGUCUUUGGCUGCAAGUAAGGGAAUACAAGGUAUUAAUUCCCAGUUACUUCUUUGGGAAAUAUAGGAUUACAGAGGUUUUCUAACUUUUUCAUCCUAUUAUCAAUUUCUUCACGACUCCAAGGCUGGUUCUUACUCCCAAGCCAGUUAAUUACUUUCCCAACCUCAUCUGCAAUUUUCUUCUUCAAACUAGGAUCGAUAUGUGAGUGAAUAUUUACUCUUCCCCUUAUGUCAUAUGCAUAGGUUUCCAACGCAGUCUUAGCGUCCGCAGUCUUCUUAUACUCCUCGUCUUCUAAUUUGUACUUCUCUGCCUCCUUGAUCAUCCUCUCGAUGUCCUCCUUAGAUAACCUGCCUUUGUAGCUAUUUGAGAUUACGAGCUUGCUCUUGUUUCCUGUUAGCUUUUCCUCGGAAGAGACAACCAAAAUUCCAUUGUUAUCAAUCUCAAAACAAAUGCCGAUAUCCGGCACUCCCCUUAAUGCAGGACUGAUUCCUGUGAGCUCAAAUCUACCCAACAAUGUGUUAUCUUUCGGAUUUACUCUUUCACCCUCGUACACACUAACAGUCAUAAUUGUCUGCCCACUGAAACCAGUUGUGUAUAUUCUUUCGUUCUUGGUGGGGAUGGCAGUGUUUCUUGGGACUAAAACUUCCAUAACUCCCGUUGCCAUUCUUAUCCCAAGAGAAAGUGGAGUGACAUCCAAUAGUAGUAAAUCCUGCACCUUCUCGAUAUUACCUUCACCACUCAUGAUUGCAGCUUGCACAGCCGCACCAUAUGCAACUGCCUCAUCGGGAUUGAUGCCUUUGCAAAGCGCCUUACCAUUGAAAAAUUCCUGCAAGAGUUGUUGUAUUUUGGGAAUUCUAGUAGAUCCGCCUACGAGUACAACAUCAUGAACAUCACUCUUGUCCAUUUUAGCAUCUGUCAAACACUUUUCCAACGGCUCCAUGCAUUUUGUGAAAAGAUCCAUGUUAAGCUCCUCAAAUUUUGCCCUUGUUAAUGUGGAGUGAAAGUCAAUACCUUCAAACAAAGAAUCAAUUUCAAUGGUGGUUUGGCUGGUGGAAGAAAGAGUUCUCUUUGCUCUUUCACAAGAUGUUCUCAGCCUCCUUACUGCUUUAGGAUUGUUACUAAUAUCCUUAUCGUGCUUCCUGUUGAACUCUUGUAUAAAAUAGGUCACCAUUCUAUUGUCAAAAUCUUCACCUCCAAGAUGAGUAUCCCCUGCUGUAGCUUUCACCUCAAAAAUUCCUUCUUCAAUAUUGAGAAGAGAAACAUCGAAAGUACCACCACCAAGAUCAAAUAUAAGAACGCUUUUUCCACGAACGACUCUGUCUUUUCUGUUAAGACCAUAGGCAAUAGCAGCCGCUGUUGGCUCAUUGAUAAUACGUAUGACAUUCAACCCCGCAAUCAAACCAGCAUCUUUUGUAGCCUGACGCUGAAAAUCAUUGAAGUAUGCUGGCACAGUUAUAACAGCAUCUUUCACUUUUGAUCCGAUGUAGGCCUCUGCUAUAUCACGCAUUUUUUCAAGAAUCAUGGAAGAUAUCUGCUCAGCAGCAAAUCUCUUCUCCAUAUUGUUGUGGUUAACCACAAUUAUAGGUUUGUCCCCGACACCACGAACCUUGAAAGGCCACAACUUCAUGUCACUCUUAACAGAGUCAUCGCUGAAUCUCCUACCAAUCAACCGCUUUGCAUCAAAUACAGUGUUGAUAGGGUUGGUAGAAACUUGAUUCUUGGCAGCAUCGCCAAUCAAACGCCCAUCGUUGGUGAACGCAACGUAAGAUGGUGUGGUUCUAUUGCCUUGGUCAUUAGCUAUGAUCUCAACGCGACCGUGUUGCCAAACUCCAACACAUGAGUAAGUUGUUCCAAGAUCAAUGCCAAUCGCUGGACCCUCGUCUUUUGUAGCCAUGUAGAUCCUCAGCAAGUUUGAAUUCUUGAAAAUUAAAGAAGAAAGCAAAAAGAAGGAGAAAUCGUGUUUAUGUUGAUGAACGUGUGAUACAGGACUAUAUAUAGAGAUUUGAGUGAUGGAUACAGGGUGGGAAUAUACAUAAAUCCUUAAACGUUUAGGUAUCUUAGCAAUUCUUUUCCUCUUUGUCACUGGAAAAAACUAUACUAACUGACACUAGGAAUCCUACGGUAAUUCCUUUUUGAGUCCUAACAUUAAAGGAAAUCGGUCAACAUGAGUCGGCGAUCCAUGUUAGCUGACAAUUACAAAAAAGAAACGAAAUAACAUGAUUAAACUAAAACAUGUGCCCAAGAUGUGUUGCAGUUGGAGAACAUUGUAGCAGAGAUUCUAAUUAGACUUCGACCUCAACACUCCCCACACUUUUGUGGUUUUCAUCUUUGUUGAGUACUGGUGCCUGACAUGAAACUGAGGCAAGUCUUUGUGCUUUGCACGCUUCUUCAUCCCAGUUGAUUCUUAGAACAAACAUCAUCAACAAAAUCAAGCAAGCAACCAUCCCAAUCAAGAAUCCUAUUAACAGUCCACUCAGCCCCAGUUUAACCUUGAAGGCUAAAACAACUCCCAAGGGCAAAGCCAGAAGGUAGAAUCCACCAAGAUUUGCAUACAUGGCCAACCAUGGCCUCGCUGUUCCUCUCACAAUCCCUCCACAAACAGCUAGUGGGAAAUUCACAACCUCCACCAAAGCCAUCAGCAGCAUCAUCUUCUUCACACCUCUUACAAUCCCCUUAUCAUGACUAAACAAUGACCCCCAACAUCCCCUGGCUGCUACCAUCACCAAUCCACCUAAACAACCCGAGAUCAAACUCACCGCUAUUGACACAAAUGCAGACUGGUAUGCUGGGCGUGCCCUGUUUGCUCCGAGCUCAUUUGAGACUCGAGUCGACGCGCAUGUUGCCAGAGACAGCAUCACCGAGUAUAGCAGGUAGUCGAAAUUUAGUACAAUGGCUAAAACUCCAACUGCCUGCUUGGCAUUGGCAAGCCUGCCAGUUAACAAGACCAGAAUCUCAUAGCACCACCAUUCUAGGCAGGUAGUGAGGCAGCAAGGUCCACAAAGCUUGAGCAGCCUAAUCCAAUCCCAAACACAUUGGUCCAACCACCCUCCUUCUUUCCACCUCCCUUCCUUUGAUCUAGCUUCAAUCACACACACAUAAAUUGCAAGUAGAAUCACAACCAUAAGGUCAGUGAUCCACACUGACAUUGCAACUCCCCCAAUACCUUUAGCGUUUGCAAGCACUAUGUUGAUUGGUAUGUGAAGGGCUAGGGCAACACCUGAGCAGAACAUGGAAGGAACUGUAAUGCUUUGCGAGUUCAAGUAGGCUUUGAGGGGACAAAGCAAUGCGGUGAUAACUAAGUCUGGUAGGAGAUAGAAAAGGUAGGUCUUUGCAACUGUUGAGAUAUCUUCUUGUUGGCCAAAAUGAAUGAGGAUUUUGUCAACACUGAGCCACAAAAAUGAAAUAGGAAGAGUUGCAAGAAGUAACAAGAAAGUUGUCAUGAGAAGGGUCUUGUGGAGAAGCCUGAUGUUUUUGGCUCCAUAUGCUUGACCACAUAUAGGCUCCAUGGCACCACACAGACCACUCAAGACAGAGAAGCCGGUGACAUUAGCGAAAGUGAAACCGAGUGUGCUGCCUGCCAGUUGAAGCUCUCCUAGUCUUCCUAGAAAAGCUGUUGUGAUGGCUAUCUUGGCAAACCAUGUCAAGUUCAUAGCCACGAGAGGAAGAGCUAUCCCUCUUUGUAUUUUGAGCUCUGCAAGCAUGAUGUUGAGGAAGUUGGUAGGCCAUUUUUGGGUGUGAGGUAGGGAUGAACAUGGUUGAGAGACACUCUCUGGUGGACUGUUUUGUGAUGUUGUUGCAGACAUAAUGUGUGUUGGAGGCUUGGAGCAAAACGGUUUGAAGGGUUUGGGUUGUUUGUUAGAGAAAUAAAUGAGAUAUGAGAAUUUGGAUUCUUGUUUUCUUCUUAUGGUUUCUUUACUUCUGAUAACUGAUAAGGUUGUUUAUUCAUGAGUGCAUACAUUUCGUGAAGGUGUUCUUCUCCAAAAGAUGCAAAUUGGUAGGCUCCUUUUGUAACUGCCAAUGAAGUGCAUGCGAAAGAUAGUGUUGGUACGUAGUGGAUUUUAUAGUGCGAGAUGAGAAAGCAAGGGGCCAAAUCAUGCAUAAAUUCUUACAAAUCCUCCAAGUAAUCUCAUGAGAUUGGCGUGUUUAGUCUUGAUGAGUGUGAUAAGAAGAAAUUCCACUUCUAGUAAACACGAGAGGUAAUCUAUUUGAAAGAAAGAUAAAAUUCCUUUAUCAUAUAGCGGUGGUAGAAACCGUAGAAUGUAAAUGUAAAAGAAAAGGUAAUCGAUAUUAACAAAACAAAAAGAGAUAGGUUUAGUCGGAAAUAUAACGGUUCUCCAUUUGUGAUGUUAAUUCCACUAAAACUAAGAAAUUCAUAUACUUCAGUACGUCAAGAUUUCGUAUUGAUUUGAAAGAACAGAACUUCAGUAGGUGUAAUAAUGGAACAAACCACUACUACUAAAGUAUCUAUUACAUAAACUUCAUACAACAAGGUAAGAAAGUGCUUAUAUUUAUCGAAUAUGAACUCCCAAAAGAAUGAACAUGAAUGAUGAAUGUGAGCCUCGUAGCUCUGGUGGUUUAUGCUGAAAUUCAGAGGAGGAUCAUAAAGAUGUGAUGUUUCAGAGGAAAGAAAAGGGAGGAAGAUUACAUUUGAAAAGACCGAGAGAGUAAUGUUGAGGCCUACUAUUAGCUAGCUAGGGAGACUCUGAACUAUAAGAAUCAACUGAGGCAACCAUACAUGGCCUCCUUAUCUAUCAAAGCUUUUUUCCUUUCAUAUUCGAAAGCCACCUGAUUGUUGAUUUACUUCCAAUUCGAUCAUCUAUGCCUAGAUGUUAGUAUUUUAUGGAUUUAUAAAGUAAAUGGACAAACACCUUUUUAGAAAGAAAUAAAAUUACAAAAGCAACUGUGCCGUUCAAAAUGUGAUUGCAUACUUUUAGAAUCCGAGCAAUUAUUCCUAACUGGAAAAUAUAGACACCACAUUAUGACUUUACUACCGAUUCAUUUUGUUUGGCCCAAACAUGAUAGAUUAAGUAAUUUCCAGAAAAGUGUGAAAUUGAUCAGGCUUCAUCAUCCUGAUCAUUUUUUCUCCGAGACAAAUUAAUCUCUCAUUUAGACAAAAAACCACCUCAAAUUUAGGUUCUUGUUCUGGGGCGUGAUCAUAAAACCAAUAUAAUGCUGAAAUUCUAGUACAAGAUCAUUGCUAGCUAGAAGGAUAAUGAAGAUAUGUCAGAGAGGCACUCAUUGAUCAAUCAUCAUUCUGGGUUUCUUUCUUUAUUGUGAGCACUACUUAAUUUGCUUUCCACUUGUUCCCCAUUGAUAAAGCAUGGAUAUAUUAAUUUCAACCAUAUAAUGCAACUAAGUAGUGCUUCUGGUCUAUUUUAUGUAUUGGUGGACGUCUUUCUAAAUCGAUUCUCUCAUCUAUAUAUGAUUGAGCUAGUUUUAGUGAUGUGUACAUACAUUCGCAAGUUUCAAGCUGCGGACCUCAUUACAUUAUUAGGCGUUAAAAUGUAUUAAUGGAAAAAAAAAAUUGGGCAUAUUUGAAAUUGUUUUACAAAAUUAGAUGAUGAACUUACAUAAACAUCACGUAUUCAAUAAAGAAAUAUAUAUGAAAGCACAUCAAGGCAGUCAUGCAUGGCAUAUAGCAUGUAACCCACUUAAUUUGCUUGGUUUGUGCCAUGAGAAUUUAGAGCACAAGAAUAAAUUUGAGUGCGCUCGUUAAUUGAUUCGGAUCAAAUUAGGUACUUGUAGAAGAUGAAGUUCGUUGAUAUUCUAUAAUACAUGCAACUUCUACGCAGAAUUUCAUGAUCAUGAUGCAAAGUUUAUAGGAAUAUAUAUGAAAAGGAAUCAGAUAUUCUUACCAGGAAUUACAUGCAUGCAAUCUUUGAGGAAGCCAAGAAUUUAGAACAAAUCCAUAUCGAUGAUAGAUAAUAUAUAUAACCGCGCGCAGUCGACGAACAUUCUUAAGUGUGUACUGGACUACUGGGUGAUCGAUCAAAGGAUAAAACAAAGGAGCCCUAAAACAAAUAGGGAAUAUAUCCGACAAAAUGCAACUUUAACUGAACCAAUCAUAUUUAUAAUCAAAUUAAGUAGAUGGUACCUGACAUAUAAUUUCUGUAAAACCUAGGACAAGAAUUUGAAUAAUAUUGAAGCGCGCACUAGCUAGGUAGGAUGGAAUACAUCUGUAAUUGCAAAAUCAGAUACUCAUGAUGCCUGACAAGUGACAUCCAAGAAAAGAGGGGCCGGUUAGGGACACAUCGGGUUGCUGAUCAUUUGGUUUAAGGUUUAGGUGGAGUUGUAGGACAGUGGCACUUGGACUCCCAGUCUCCCAUUUACUUUCCCAGUUAUACGUGGUAAACCAUUAUAUUCGUUCGAUCACUCUGUUUAUGACAAAGUAGCACUGAUCAAUCUGACAGUGUUAAGUUCGGGGUACGUAAAAAAAUUAGUAGUUGAAAGGAAGAAGAAUACUCCCCAAGUGGGGUGGAUCGGUCUCCCCAAAGUUUUAGUUGAUUAACAACGUACAUAUAUAUAACAGGACCUCAUAUAAAUUGGAUUAGUCGAACUGCAUGUACGUAAAGCAUUCAAAAGAGUUGCUGGCGCUAGCUUUAUCGAUCAAUCGGUACCUGGCUGGUGUUGGAUUCAUCUGCAAAAGCAGCUACUGUAUGUCACUUAGUAGGUUGGCAUUUUCAUUCAACUCAAAAUCACCAGAACCAGCCUGCUUCUCCUAAUAUAUCAGUGAUCCUGAUCGAACUGUUUUCUUCUCCUUGAACAACACUUGAAUCUUAUUUCAGAUUAAGGUUUUUAACCUGCAAAUUAAGAUGUUAGUAGAUAGUUAACUUUCAAAGUAAACAAGACAAUUCUACCGAAAACUUGGUGCUACGUAUGAGACCAAAUUGCUCUCAGGCUGAGAGUCUCAGCUAGCUUCAACUGGGGUCAUAGUAAAUCCUCAUGAGCAAAGUGUACCUAUAUGAAAUUCUCAGUAAGGAAUUACAAAACUAACAUAAAGUACGUGGUUGCCGUUGCAAUGUUGACAAAGACACAAGCACAAAUUGAUCCAAACCAUAUACGAAGUUCAAGUGAACACAUCAACCCGUCUAGCAGAGUUUCAAAAGGAAUGAUCCUAAACACAGCAGGUGAACACUUGCAUGCAUGGGCUUCUUUGAAAACAGUUGAACUGAGAAUGAGGCCGGCUUUGGUACAUCAGGGCAUUGGGCCCUGAAACCACACAAUUCUUAGUGUUUGCCUCAAAAGCACAAUGUAAGCAUUUUACAUUCUCAUCAACUAGCAAUCAACAUUGUAAAAUCGUUUUCGUAAAAAGUUUCUUGAAAUAGUCACUUCCAUUUACAAAAGAGAAAGUAAGAAACACAACAGAUUGAUGGUGUUACUUAACUUUUCGAUCUGUUUAAUGACCUUGAUCAUGCACAGUAUAUCUUUUAAUCUUUAAUUAAUCAAAACUGGUUCCUAUGAAAUAAGAUAAAACAGCAAUCUGUAAACAAUUGUUGCUUAGGAAAUAAGAGAUACUUGAAAAUUCAUAGCGGCUCUGAUUUUAUAUAACUAGCUAGAUCAUAUGGAUAAUAUUGUUUACCGCUUAAAUCUGUACAUUCUUAUUGGUGUUUCCUAUUUUAAAACUCCACUUCAAAAACCAUUGCAUAAUUAUAAUGAUCCAAACUAAAAAUACAGUACUAUCCCAACAUAAAUGACACAAGAAGAAAUCAGAAAAAGAUACAGUUGUAGCAUGAGGUUUAUAUAUAUUAUAGGCUAGAUUUGAUAUAUGUGUCCGAACUAAGCUAGUAAAUCUUUUAAGAUUGUCAAAUGGCUAAUAAUAUAUAUAUAGUCAAAAAUAAACAAAGGAAGACACUUUUUAGGUUACAAGACAUAAACUAUGGAAAUUUAAGAGUUAAGAAACCAUAUACAUAAGGGUAGUCUCAAAAAUUAUCUAUAAUAAGUUUAGCUUUCAUUAUUUGAUCAGUAAUCAUCAAUCCGUACAUUGAUGAAGACAAAUCUGUUUAUCCCUAUUCAAUCAAGUUAAAUGAAACAUACUUUAGCUUUAGUGUUUUUAAAGAAGCUGUUUACUUCCAAAUACUAAAAUAUAAGUUGUUCAAUUUCCAAGUUACUUCUUAAUUGUUCUAAUAAAAUCAUGCUCCCUUGUUUGUCUAUAGGAAAUGUGGCUUAAUUUAAUUAUCAGAAUUCUGUAGAGACCUCUUUCAGCCUAGUUUAGCUGCUUAGGAACUGAAUUCUAGGAGGAUUUAUACACCUAAACAGAUUCUAAAAGAGUUAGACGUGUUUGAAAUUAUAUAGUUCAUUGGCGAACCUUGACUAAUUUCAACCAUGCAAUAAAAUUUAGGUCAUUGGAGGGAGCAAAUUUUACGCACCAAGAUGAAUUUGCACUAAUGUGUAAGUGCUCAAAUCGUCAUAUGAGAAGAUCAAAUGAAGACUAGAGACCCUAAAAUUCAUUUUUUUCAUUUUUAUUUUUGAUCCGAUCAAAUUAAACGUCCAUAGUAAAAAGUACAUCUUUUUCGACCUAGUAUUCUCACCUCCUUAGUUAGCUAUAGAAACACUUCAAACUAUUUUUUUGGAUUUCAAUUUUGUUAAUAGUAUUAGUAUAUAUACAUGUAGUGCGACGUAGAUUGCCGGAUCAAAAUACUGUAUAUUACUUGCUCAAUCGGUUUACUUGCACAUUGAAGAAUUUUCAGUCAUUGCGCAUGCUUUAACAUUUCCAGCAACUAUCACUUGGUUAACUCGGCCUACCUUUAAACGUUAUCAAACAAAUAUGUAAAAGCCGAUGAGGAUUUGAUUUCUUAAAACAAUUAAGUGCGUAUGUCAAAUUUAUGUUCUCGUCUUGCAUAAUUCCAUCUAAUUAAUUUAUUUUCUUCUCAUAUGUAUCGCAAAGUUAAAACAUUUAUAAUUUAUCCACGUAUGGAUGAAUCUUGAACUCAAAAUACUUCUCCAUGACAUGCUAAUUAAAUCGAUCAAAUCGAUUAGAUGUUGUAGAUGAUUGACCGAAACGAAGUAAUUCUAGCUUAAUUUGCUUAGUUUACUAGUUAGUUUAAUGAUUUCAACAUCUAUAUAUCUUGUUAAACAAUGUCUAUGACAAUUAACAAGUCUAGUUUCAACUGCCAAUAGCUGAUGAGGACAGUAAUUUUCGUAUUCAAUCAAACCUUUGUAACUGAUAAGAUAUGAAGCUUGAAUUCUAUGUAGAUUUCGAAGGAUUUCUAUAUUUGAAGAUGUCAUGGGUUGAUUUUGGACCUGUACCUAAUAAUUAUGAUUGAGCUUAAAAUUAGGGUUUAAUUAGCCUGAAAUUAGGAGUAUAUGUACUGUAUAAUGUUGACCCGAUGCUUAACUAUAUACAGUGGUUAAUUAACCAAAUGAAUUAAGCAAGCAGUUGACGCGAUGCGUGACCAGAAAGAUUCCUUACAGCAAAUUUCCGUCCAUCACGUGGCGGCCUUAAUUUUGUCGUUUGCAAAAGCUUAAUUAGAGUUUCUAAUUAAAAAAAAAAAGAUGCUUAAUUAAUUAGCUGUGUUCAUCAUCAUCAUCAACAACUCUAUCUCUAUCUGCGCCUUUCAGCGCCCUAAACAAAUCCGCAUCCACAUGUGAAGCUCUGUUGGUCUUCCCUGGAGAAUAAGAAGCAGAUCGAUGAGUCGUCUCAGCCAGAGGAGCUCGAACCGGAAAUUUAGGGUUUUGCUUUCUCUCUGAGAGAGUGAGAGAGAGAGAGAGAGAGAGAGAGAGAGAGAGAGAGAGAGAGAGAGAGAGAGAGAGANNNNNNNNNNNNNNNNNNNNGAGAGAGAGAGAGAGAAAGCUUGCUGCAGAAACAUGCAGAACCCAAGUCUAGCUAGCCAGAUUCGAGGCAUCCAUUGAUGCCUUUCACAUGGGACUUAGGGUUUAAUCCAAUACUUUAUGUCUCUCCCGUUUCAUGGACUUGUUCUUGGAUAUGAUUUUUAUUUGCCGGAAGAUGGUGAUGGGUUUUGGUUUUGUUUAUUGGAAUGCACUUGGGGUUUAGCUUAAAAUAUGAUUAAGGUCACUACCAUCAAGGCUGUGACAGUGUUUUAACUUAUUAUUAGGUUGUUAAAUAGACUUUUUUACAUCUUAUCUCAUUGAACAUCUCCAUCAUCCACUACUUCUCCCUCAAGGUAAGAGCCUGCCUUUCUUGAAGACCACAAUUUUGAUCCAUCUCGACACUUACAUAGAUGGUAUAUUACGUAGGACUAGCUUCUUAGUUUGGCUCACUCUCUACAGCUAGCUAGGGUCUUACAGUCGAUCUAAUCGAUCUUUGAGGUUAAUGUUGGUUGAUUUGGUUCUGUAAUGCCUUGGCCUUUGAAGAUUCACAGAGACUUCAACCCGACUUAUCGAUCAUCUAGAUCAGUUGCCAAAUUAGAUUAAUGGGAAUAAUUCAUAAUCAAUUAGCCAUAUCAUUGAUCAUUUUACAUUGGAAGGCUGCUGUUUUUUGCAUCUGGAGUCCAAAUUUAUAUUAAUCUGGAUAGAAGUAGCACUGAUAUGUAUAUAUAUAGUUGAGGAAACUACAAAAGGUUUAAGAAAAAAUCACAUUCAAUUGAAAGUGAACAAGACUAGUAAACAAUCAUCGAUCAGUUGAUGGAUCAAAGUCAUUUUAUAUUCGAGGUGUCUGAUUAGGAACAAUCUGAUCGUCAUGAGUUUUCAGUUAUCUUAAUUUAAAUCCCGUGAACUUAACGUUUCUAUGUAGGACAACUAUGAAUAAUUGCAUGAAAGGCAAACUUCUAAGAUGUAUCACAUCGAUAUGAGACAUAAUGACAAUGCAUAUGAAAGCCUUGACAAGAAGACAUCAAUAUUGCCUUUUAGCAAUAAAUCAAAAUUUAAUUAAGCCUGAUUUAGACUGUAAGUGUGAUCGAUGGUCGUAGAUAUAUAAAUAGCUAGGAAGCUUCUGAUGUCAAAUAUAUGACGUGAUUUUCAUUUGAAUAAAAACCAGAAUACUGACCUUGAAGAUGAGACCUCUUAGCUAACCAAUUAAGGAGGAGAUUACUGUUGUGUUUGUUUGUUUAUUUUCAUCCUAGUCUACUUGCCGGAGCCGGAGUGCCGGACCGAGAAAAUGUUUUCAGUUAGUUUUCAUCUCUUUUUCCCAAGAUUCUCUGUGAAACCUUCCAUAGUGAAUCAAAACCUGGCCUUCUGUAUUUUCGGGCCUCUUGAUCUUCUGCGUUUGUUCAGAGUGAUGAUAUGGACUGCAACUGAGGACUACUGUAUUUGAUUUCCUGAUCCAUGUAAUCAUACAAUUCUGUCAACACUGGUUAGGGAUUAGAAGUCAUCCCCUUCUUAUAUUACCAGCUUUAUGCAAUCAUCCAUUCAUCUGUCAUUUAACUCUUUUCAUUUUUAAGUCCAGACCUAACUAACAGUUGCUAAUAUUGUAUGAGCGAAGAAACAGAUAUAUCAAUGAUGAGCAGUCACCAACAAUAUACGCGUAUAAGACGACUUUGUUAGAAUCUCUAGCUCAUUUUAUUAACAUAGCAACGUGUUUAUACUCUUAUUAGGUUUCAAUAAUGGCCUUAAACCCUGAAUUUCAAAAUCAAAGGACGAUGUUCAUACUUCAAUAUAUACUAUUCAUAUCAGGGCUCGAUCAUGCCAUUUCUUUCAUCACAUAUGUGCUCCACAUGACGUCCUAUACAUAUGACCGUUGGUUGCCCUCCUAGCUCGACUAUUAUCCUUUGUCCAUUUGAUAUAUUUAUAACCAAACUAAUCUAAUCUAAAUGGUCAACUUGAUAAAAUAGGCGAAGAAGAUGCGUUUAUGUGUUGGAUUAUGUGUGAAAACUUGUAUGUGAUAAUUUGGCAGCAGCUUGAAGCAGCUGUUAUGGUGUUAGUUAGAUUGAUGUGAUGUGAUGCGAUAGCCAUUGAGGCAUUGACGCACAAAAUAUGGUGAGUGUCUAAGCGAAGCAAACCUUAAAACGGCUACAAAAGGAUACUGAAUAGAUGACUAGAUCAUGAAGAAAAAAACGUUGUAACGAGCUAAAGUUGCAAAAGAAUCAUAGACAAUAUGACAUGAAUUACCUAUUAACAAUUCACAACUAACCCAAAUAGUUAGCAACCAGCCAAUCUGCUUGUCGUAUUAUCCUUUAUUUGGUCCCAUGAUAAGCACCUUAUUAAUCUUUAUAAAAUCCCAAACUUGUAGGUUUUUGUCACGAAUAUAAUGUAGUUUUCUAUUUUGUUGUUGAAAUAACUCAAACUUGAGAAAAAUCAACUGAGAUUACCUUGGGUUACGGUAUUAACCAAAAUUACAUUUUUUUUUUAUGAGGAAACAAGAAGAAAAUUACAACAAGAACCCACGACUCGAUUUACUACCCUGCCCAGCUGAUCUAAAUAGAACGAUGAUGACACAAAUAGGAGAAGACAAAAGAACCAGAUUUUAGGCUGCUACGAACUAUGACCUAAUUAGCAAACUUUUCUGCAAAAUAGUUUGUCUCUCUAUAUACACAUGAUGAAAUCUACACUUGAUUGGGAGGGUGUGGAAUGGUAUUUUAUUUUAUUUUUUGUAUUUUUGAUUGUUAUUCAAUUCAUUAGGGUCUGUUUCCCCUAAGGGUUUAGGGGAGUUCUAUGGUGUUUUGGACUUUGGGAGGGGUUUGAUGAGUUUGAGCGUACGUUGAAGAAAUGAGCUUGAGCUAACAGAGAAUUAAGGGGGAAGGAGGUGGGGGACCACAGAUGGGAGGAGAGACCGACAAAGAGCAUCUUUUGUUACAUGGGUUUGCGUCCCAAUGGUGCAUGCGAAAGAGCAGCAGAUCGAACAAGGAAGGAAGAAGCAGAUCACAGUAGCUAGCUGCACUUUGCACUGAGAAUUGAGUUGAAUGAGAUCGAGAGCAGCAGAAAGAUACAUAUAGUCGUUUUGAUUUGUAUGUUGGGAGCUAGCUAGCUUGGUUUGUGCCGACUGCUGCAUGCUGCUGCUGCUGAGAACGAGAGAGAGAGAGAGAGAGAGAGAGAGAGAGAGAGAGAGAGAGAGAGAGAGAGAGAGAGAGAGUAGUAGUUAGUAGUAGUAGUAGUAGUNNNNNNNNNNNNNNNNNNNNGAGAGAGAGAGAGAAAGAGUGAGCUGGUUAAUUUUGAGAAGAUCGAGUUUGGUUGUUACCGGUGUUUAGUUUGUUUUGUUUGCAGCAAACUCUCCGGCGCUCGUGCAGUGGCGCUUUCCUUGUCUGGUAGAGAGAGAUUGUCAGCGCCACCCACGCGUCUUUAGCUCUCACUCCCACGCUAGGGUUAGCUGGAAUAUCUAUUAUGCGGUCAAACCAUGCUUGCUCUCUUCCCUCCCACCAACCCUUACCUUACACACAACCUGUCUCUCUCUCCCUCUAGUUUGUCUUUGCUGGCCUUUUCUAGUGCAACUCUUUCACUUACACAUGCAUCCAUGCCUCUCCUCCUCGAUCACCAUCAUCAUCAUCAUCAUUUGUGUGCUCCCUCGAUCUCUAGCUAAGCUGCUAUAGCUUGCUAGCUCUCAAAUGCUUGUUAUGGUACUUCUGGAUCUGUUUUUCCCAAAACAGAUCUUGUAUAGAUUAUAGCUAGAUAUGUACUUCAGAAUUCAUUUGAUUGUGUUGUUUAUACACACGUAUAUCAUACUGCGUACUUCUCUAGCUAGACAAACUACAAAGAGACCAUGUUCGUGAAUCAUGUAUAUUUUAUCUCACGUAAUAGAACCCAAAUGAAAUGAUUUAAUUAUCCCCAAGACUCUCCAAUCCAUCACUCACUCUCUUAGUAGCUCAUUUGCUGCACUGAAUCAGAAUUUUCGGCAUGUUUAAUUAUGUUGAUAAUGUUUAUACGGAGUAAGAUAGCUUAACCAAAUUGUAUUUAAGUUCAUUUCAGACUACGAAGGUGUUAAAUUGGUUUAGGUGUCUUAUAACUAUAUAUGACUAAUCAUAUGAUUCAUGUCUGUCCGGGCAUGGUCAUUCUAGUUAGCUUUCUUCUGUCACUUCUCAACAAAUAAAAUGUUAUGAUGGUAGUACCUGUAAAGUGACUUUCUCAGUGUUAGGCUUUGUUUCUUUAUGACCAUGAUUGUGUUUUGCUGAACUCCUCUUCUGCACCAAUGAAAACAACUGUGAAUGCACAAAAUGAAAGAUUCGGACCCAUCAAUCUUGAUCAUCAAACUAGUUCGGCCAAUUCUCUUUUCUUAGAUGCGGGUGCGAGUUAUACAUCAUUCUUCUACAACUUCUUCGAUCCUCAUUAGUUCGAUUACUGCUAGUGCCUUUCACCUUUGCAGUCACAGAGAAGUAGUUCGAAUAUAAAGACUAACCAUCUCAAUCAAUUAUUCUUUCCUUAUAAAAGAGUAUCAUCCACAAACCUCGAAGUUAUGGAGUAAACACGCAUCCAAGUAAGAACUCUUUGGAUUUGAUUGUUUUAUAGUCUAGUAAACUUUUGUUAUAGUUAAUAUUACCCUAUGCCAAAUGGAACUAUACACCCGGGCCAAUUAAAAUCAUUAGGAUCUUACCAAAAGGUAACCACGAAAGGUACACAUCAAGUACCAAACUGAGGAUAACUUUAAAAGUGUUUCUGAAUAAUUUUCUAUGUGAUACUAAUUAGCAUUCAUAUCGAUUGAUCAUAUAUACUAAUUGAGGAUGUUAAUUUGUAUAUAUUCGUUUUAAGUUUAGAGUUUGCAUCAAGUAAGAAAACAAUUCA